Molecule: long non-coding RNA, 52394 nt
Filed under: Triticum aestivum (bread wheat)
Lineage: Eukaryota; Viridiplantae; Streptophyta; Magnoliopsida; Poales; Poaceae
Description: long non-coding RNA (TAES_LNC014354)
Source: RNAcentral
GUGCCGUCAAUCAAGUAAAAUUAGCAAGAUUUCAAUGAGAUUGUGCCAUCAAUCAAGUAAAAUUACUGGCACGCUAAUGGCAUGUUGUAUUGCAAAUGAUAAGUAGAGAUUUGUAAUUCCUGAGCUGGGAAGGUGCAGACCAUUUUCUGAAUGUACACUUGGACUUGAUCCUUUAUAGCUAUGUAAGGCCAGUUUGUGGUUUUCAAACUCCUGAUGAAUUGCUGGCCACAGCAUUUGCUACAUCAAACAGACCCGUAUAUGAUGGUCAUCGGCCACUUUAGCCACACCCAAAGCUGCUUGAAAAUGAGCAGGCUUGUUACAUGCUCCGGGCCUAUACUGGACACUUUAUAUAACUAGAUAAAACUUGUCUCCAGAAGGAAUUUGAUGUCCCUGGAAAGCUGACCCAGGGCUCGCAUUAUCAUACGCAGUGAAGGCGAGGGCCUGUUUGAGUACCAGGCCUCUCAAUGCCGUGAUGGUCUGCAGGCUUCACGGAGGGGCGCGGGCAAUUGUUCCAUCAGCGUGCAAGGCGUCCGCAGCUUCUAAAACUACGUCGCCAUCGGAGGACAUUUAUUGUACGAUGCAAGGAGGUGAAGGCAGUGUGGCGAGUCAUGGGAACGGAAGCUGUCAGAAUGAAGCUAGAGGCCUAUAAUUCAGUGGAACCUGUCAUGGAUCAUCUUUGGUCACUGAAGAUGGAGGACCGUGUGCAGAUUUUGUACUUCUGGUGGGAGUGGUGAAAUGAGAGGAACCGCAUCAGAAAGAACGAAGGAAGGGUACGGCCAGAGGAGAUCGCCACAGCACAUACGUGGCCGCCAUGGAAUAUUGGGAAGUUGUCGGGAAACAUAAGCAAAAUCCACCAAAGGAGGAAGGAAAAUGAAGGCCACCUGAAGAAGAUGUGCUGAAGUUUAAUAUUGAUGGGGCUCAUGUGCCAGGGAGCUUGGAGUCUGCUUGGAGGGUUGUUGCACCAGACCAUACCGGGGAGGUAUUAGCAUGCAUGACUGGCAAAGCUGAGCAUCCGGAAGUAAAAAAUACAUCUAGGUCCGUAGACCAUCUAGCGACGACUACAAUCACUAGAGCGAGUCAAAGGCGCGCCGGUGUCAUCGCUCCUCCAUCAUCGGAGUCGGACAAAUCUUGUUGUAGUAGACAGUCGGGAAGUCGUCGUGCUAAGGCCCAAUAGGACCAGCACACCAGAACAGCAACCGCCGCCGAUUAAGAGAAUCGUAGAUCGAAAGGAUCUAACCUGCAGACAUACUGACAUAGAAGAACAAAGACCGGAUUCAAGCGGAUCCAUCUAAGACAAACACCGACCGAAUCCUACAAGAUCCGUCGGAGAUACACCUCCACACGCCCUCUGAAGAUGCUAGAAGCACCACCAGGAGAGACUAGGUGAGGAGAACUUUAUUCCUCUUCAAAAAAUCAUCCCUGCCUCAUCUUCCUGAACAUGACACAAACCCUAAUAAAACAGAAAAAAAAAACGUAAAAACGGAGCCCUCUCGCCGGCAAGUGCCGGGAUUCGCCGCGCCUUCAUGGUUCUAAAACCAUAGGAGACGAAGCGGACCGGCGGCGCCGGCGAGAGGCUAAGGAAACCUAGACGAGUCGCCUGGGACUUCGCCUGGCUGGAGUUGUACUAGGCGAUAUGCCGAACUCGUUCACGUAAGAAAGCUAUGCUUUGACUCUCAAAAAAACUACGUCGCCAUCGCUGGGAAUGCGCCGCGUCCGUGUUCACUUUAAUCACUCCCACCGGUGGACGGACACUUGCACCUCUGUGUUUGCGCAGCUUGGACCUUGGUUUGGGCGUGCGAAAUUCUGCAGAUUCUGCAGUCAGCCUCCUCACAUGAAACUGAAGCUGGUCUACUGUCCAACUUCGUUGUGUUUUUUCUGGUUCCACCGGUACCACAUGGGAGCAAACAGCUUGCUACAUGCGACAGCGAGAGGAUCGAUGGAAAUAUUAACAUUUUCUCGACUAAUGUAAUAUAUGAGUAUACAGUAAACAUGGAAAAUAUGAUAUGCAUCUCAUACUGAUACCUAAGCAUGUGAGCAUGUAUCGUACAUCAAAACAUCUAUGAACAAAUAUAUAUACGACCACACAUGAACGAGUAAAUAGGGGAUGAAUGAGUCAUGCAUACCUUCCAGUUGGCCAGGCCAACACGGCGGCGGCAGCGACAGCCUUGGCAUUGAUUGAGGCCUUCUUCUUGCCGGCUUCGUCGUCAGCCAUGGAGACAUUGCAAGGAAAGUAGUGGAAGCAGAGACAAACAGAGGCGGGGACGGAUUGGGAGAAGUCGCGUCGAGACUCUCCCCCAAAAACCUUAUUACCGUUUUCCCGGGCCGGGUCUCGAACGACAAGGUUCCGGAGGCACCUGCUCUCUCGACCAACUGUGCGCGCGGUCGUCGGGAUGGGAUCGCUGGAAGCAGCACAGAGAGAGGACCAGUAGAUGACGGCUAGAAUUGUGCAAGAGGGAGUUAGUGAACUGAACUGAAGGAAAUAUAUCCUAGAGGCAAUAAUAAAGUUGUUAUUUUAUAUUUCCUUAUUAAUGAUAAAAGUUUAUUAUUCAUACUAGAAUUGUAUUGAUCAAAAACUUAAAUAUAUGUGUGAAUACAUAAAUAAAUACUGCGUCCCUAGUAAGCCUCUACCAAACUAGCUCGUUGAUCAAAGAUGGUUAAGGUUUCCUAACCAUGAAUAUGUGUUGUCAUUUGAUAACGGGAUCACAUCAUUAAGAGAAUGAUGUGAUGGACAAGACCCACCCGUUAGCUUAGCAUAAUGAUCGUUCAGUUUAUUGUUAUUACUUUCUUCAUGUCAAAUACAUAUUUCUUCGAUUAUGAGAUUAUGCAACUUCCGGAUACCGGAGGAAUACCGUGUGUGCUAUCAAACGUCACAACGUAACUGGGUGAUCAUAAAUAUGCUCUACAGGUAUCUCCGAAGGUGUUUGUUGAGUUGGCAUAGAUCGAGAUUAGGAUUUGUCACUCCGAGUAUCGGAGAGGUUUCUCUGAGCCUUCUUGGUAAUACACAUCAUGAAGCCUUGCAAGCAAAUGACUAAUGAGUUAGUUACAAGAUGAUGUAUUACGGAACGAGUAAAGAGACUUGCCAGUAACGAGAUUGAACUAGGUAUGAAGAUACCGACGAUCGAAUCUUGAGCAAGUAACAUACCGAUGGACAAAGGAAAUUAUGUAUGUUGUUAUAAGGUUCGAUCGAUAAAGAUCUUCGUAGAAUAUGUAGGAGCCAAUAUGGGCAUCCAGGUUCCGCUAUUGUCUAUUGACCGGAGAGGUGUCUCGGUCAUGUCUACAUAGUUCUCAAACCCGUAGGGUCCGCACGCUUGACGCUCGUUGACGAUAUAGUAUUAUAUGAGUUAUGUAUGUUGGUAACCGAAUGUUGUUCGGAGUUCCGGAUAAGAUCACGGACACGACGAGGAGCUCCGGAAUGAUCUGGAGGUAAAGAUUGAUAUAUAGGAUCAUAUGGUUAGGACAGGGGGUAAGGCCCACAGGGCUUUAAGUCGGUGCAGAAGGAAUUUUGUGGAGGCCAGGGGGCCAAAUGCCAGAGACCCUGGCGUCUGGCACUGGGCCAGAUGCCGAGGUCCAUGGCGUCUGGGCCAAACGCCAAGGACUAUGGCGUCUGGUCCUGGAAGUCCGAGAAGGACUCUUCCUUGCGGGCAAAACCGAUUUUGAGGAGGCUCUUUCUCCAAGUUACGACCUCGAGGCUCAACAUAUAAAUAGAGGGGCAGGGCUAGCACCUGGAACACAUCAAGAAUCACCAAGCCGUGUGCCAGCAACCCCGUCCCCUCUAGUUUAUCCUCCGUCAUAGUUUUCAUCGUGCUUGGCGAAGCCCUGCGGAGAUUGUUCUUCACCGACACCAUCACCACGCCGUCGUGCUGCUGGAACUCAUCUACUACUUAGUCCCUCUUGCUGGAUCAAGAAGGCGAGGACGUCAUCGAGCUGAACGUGUGCUGAACACGGAGGUUCCGUAUGUUCGGUACUUGAUUGGGUCGGAUCGUGAAGGUGUACGACUACAUCAACAGCAUUGAUAAACGCUUCCGCUUAGCGAUCUUCAAGGGUAUGAAGAUGCUCUCCCCCUCUCGUAGCUAUGCAUCUCCAUGGAUAGAUCUUGCAUGUGCGUAGAAAUUUUUUGUUUUCCAUACAACGUUUCCCAACAUGAACUAGGUCACUCUACUGGCUAGUGCCUUCUUAUAUAGGUCGUUGGGUAGACGGGCCUGGGCCACGACCGAGUCUGCGAACAGCCCACGGUCCAACGUCUUAGGCGGGGUGCGCGGGUGGCGAAGGAGGAGGAGCACACAUGUAGAGUAAAUUGCUGAAAGCCACCACAUUUGUGGCGCGGAUACUCUAAAACCACCACUUUUGCCAGAAAUUUCAAAAAACCACCACUUCCGUGGCAAGUGAAUAACAGAUUGCACUAAACAAGCUGUGAACCGCGACUAGCAGCAAACCUGACAAGUUGGGCCCACUUACGGGUCCAGGGGCGUGGAUGCGCAGAGACGGACACUAGCGGCGUUUGCAAAUAGGUUCGGGCCCACGCACACACCGACCAACAGCCGCUGGUUCCGCCCCCACAGUAGAUCUCGCCAUGGCCGCCGCCGGAGCUCUCUGCUCCUCGCCGCCGUGGGAGCCUUCCCUCCUGCAGGCUGCCUCCGAGUUGGGGGCGCUGCCGUCGGAGAUGCGAGUGGAGCCAAAGGAUCCCAGCGGCGCCGAUGAGCCUAACCCCAGGGACGAUUCAUACAGCCUCACCCUCUCCCGCCCAGAUGCGCCGGCGCUGUUCCACCACCGACGAUGCUCCACAGGGGGAGAAGUAGGGAGCUCCGAUGGAGAACGCGCGGACGAGCUCCCUUGCAGUUGUCCCUGGUGUCGUCGUCGGGCUUGGUUCAUGGCCGACGCCAGCCGGAGCUCGCCGUUGAGCGCGUGUGCGGGUACGGGAACUCGGCUCCGACCAAAUCAACGGCGACGGCCAUGGGCAGGAGCUCGGCUCCGGCCAAAUCGACGACCACGACCAUGGGCGGGAGCUCGGCUCCGACCAAAUCGACGACCACGGCCAAGGGCGGGAGCUCGGCUCCGACCAAAUCGACGACCACGGCCACGGGCGGGAGCUCGGCCCCGACCGAAUCGACGGCUACAGCCAUGGGCGGGAGCUUGGCUCCGACCAAAUCAAUGGCUAUGGCCUAGGACGCCGCCGCCCCGCACCCUAUGCUGCGACUGCCCCUCUUCCCGCCCCGAGUCGUGGCGCCGUCACCAUCCCUUGCGCCACCGCCAGUGUUCCUCCUCCUCCGGUCGCCGCUGCACAACAGGUGGGCCACAGACCACGCCCUCCCUCCGGCUAACGUCCGUCUCCUCGCCCCCAUUUGCAAAUGCCACGUGGCCCCGACAGGUGGGCCUGAACGGUCAGUUUUGCUGUUAAAGGCGGCUCAAUUUCGAAUCAGUGCAAUCUGUUAUUCACUUGCCGCGGAAGUGGUGGUUUUUUGAAACUUCUGGCAAAAGUGAUGGUUUUGGAGUAUCUGUGCCACAAAUGUGGUGGCUUUCAGCAAUUUACUCACACAUGUACAACGCAUCUUCCCAAGCUCCCAAUGGCAUGUGGUAGAGCAGCCUUUAUAAAGGGGUCUCACUCUCACUCCACUAUCAGUAUGGUACUAAGCUUCCUAUCACUUGUCAUGCAUCUAAAUGGGCCUUAGAGAUUAACCAGGGAUUAUUGUCUUAUAUAGGCCUAAGCCCAUCUAUAAUCCAACAAUCCCCCACCAGAUCUCGAGGCACAUAAGUUUGUCAACUGUUUCAAACAAUGUUUGAUAUACCAGAAUUUUUAGUGGAGUCUGUCAAGUUGAACUUCCACCUAGAGCAACAGGAUUAGACUUCUUCACAACUGAACAAUGGACUAUACCUUGAAUUGUCAGUUUGGCGUGCAGAAGUUUCGCCUAUUAUUAGCUGAUACGUGGCCGCCGAAGGCUAAACCCCACGGGUGGAGCUUAUUAGUCAUACUCCUUACCUUCUCAUGAGCUUCCUAGAAAUUACCCAACCUCAUAUAUUGUUGACUAGCAGUCGGGCUUACACAAGAUUUGGAACACAUUGAGACAAAAGUCAGCCUGCCUUAUAGAUUACGAGAGUAUUGCAUCUUCAACGUAGUGGGUUAGUAAGGGUAGUCUCUUUAGUUGACCGCUAGGUUGUUUUCGCAGGUCAUAAUUCAUGGGAUCUCUAAUCACAUAGGUUGGGUUACGCCCAUGGCGACUUACCUGGGUCUCAUGCCCAUCUCCCUCGAUGCAUUUUCUAUCACAAUCCACGAUAGCCCUUUCGUGAAGGCAUUUGCUAGAUUUUUAGUGGUCUGGAUAUAAUCUAGCACUGUCACUCCGGAGUUUCUCGAUUUUCUGACUGAUUUUAAUCUUCUUUUUUAUGCUUUUGUGGAUUUCAUGUUGUCCUUUGAACUCUUAGCCUUGGCACUGUUUGAUUGUCACAGUUCAUAAAGAUAGCUGGGACUGGCUUAUCAACCACUGGCAAAUCCAUUAAAAAGCUCUUGAAGUCAUUCUGUUUCAAUGCAUGACGUGUCUAAUGUUGUGAGUUCUACUUUCAUAGUCGAUCUCGUUAAGAUCGUCUGCUUGCAAGACUUUCAGAAAACAGAACCACCACCAAGUGUGAAGACAUAUCCACUUGUAGCUUUUGUCUCAUCACCAUCAGAUACCCAAUUCGAAUCACUAUACCCCUCAAGUACCGUCGGGUACCCAGAAUAGUGAAUUCCAUAGUUCACAAUACCUUGCUGAUAAUCCCCAAGUGCAAGGAAUCAUCGUAGAAAUUUUCAAAGAUGGAAGUGGUAAGUAUGGAGUUUCGAACGCACAAGGAGAUAAGGUAAGAUCAAUAUUAUCUCAAGUCCUAUCUGCCACUGAUACGAUUCUACGUAUACUGAGCAUUUGUUUUUAUCUAGAAACAAGAAAUAAAACUACGUUGUGGGUAUAAAGACGAUAGCUUUGCAUGAUAUUGAAGAGCUAAAAUAUAAAAAUAGGUUUUAUCAACAUAAAGUUAGAAUAUGUUACAAAUAGUGAGUGUGGAAUAAUAAUGGAUCUCUGUGUGAAAUUAUCCUCUAGGCAAUUGAUAACAAGAUCGGUAAUCAUCAUUGCAAUUUUAUAUGAGGGAGAGACAUGAGUUAACAUACUUCCUGUGCUUGAAUCAUAUGAACUUAUGAUUGGACCUCUAGUAAGCAUCCACAACUACUAGAAAUCAUGAAGGGAAACCCAACCAUAGCAUCAAGUAUCAAGUCCCCUUUGCUCCCAUAUGCAACAAUUCCCUUACUUGGGUGUAAGAUUCUGUCACUAUAGCCACCCACUAUAAGUGAAUCAUGAACGUAUUACAAAACCCUACAACGGGAAUCCCCCACAUGUGUGCAGUACGGAAGGCACCAUAGGACAACACCAAAAUAAAACAUACAACUCAAACCAAUCGAGAUCAUCAAUCAACCAAAGGACAAAAUAAAUAUACUCAAACAUCAUAGGAUGGGAACAUAUCAUUGGAUAAUAAUAUGUGGCAUAAAACACUAUGUUCAAGUAGAUUAUUACAUCGGGGUGCGGGAGAGUGGACCACCGAAAAGAGAUGAGGUAGGUGAUGAAGACAGUGAUGUUGAUGAAGACGAUUACCGCGGCGAUGGUUCCCCCGGCGGCACUCUGGCGCCAUCGAGAGAGGGGAAGAGAGGAUCCUCCUCCGGCUUGCUCCUACAUGGCCUCCCUCCUAGAUGGGGAGAGGUUCUCCCUCUUGUCCUUAGCCUCCAUGGUGCCCGGAGGGCCGAGAGCCCCUCCGAGAUUGGGUCUCUCUCUCUCUGUUCUCUUAUGUUUCUGGCGAAAACCGUUUUUUAUAUUCUCGAAGAUCCGUAAAAACUUGGAUCCUUAAGAGCAAUAACAAUUUGAAUCGUUAUUUUUUCCAAGAAUUAAAAGUAGAGUGUAGUGUUUGGCAGACUUUGUCGUUGAUUUCACUCGACCUGAUUAAAAUUAAUGUGGAUGCGAGCUUUGUUGUUAAUUUUGGCAUGGGAAAGCCUUGGAGUGGUGGUUCGGGGUUCCAGUGGAGAUGUUCUCCAUUUACUUGGGAUUUUGUUCCUAGUUGUCUCAACGUGGAGUACGCUAGAAUGUCGGCAUGUUCGGUAAGCUUAUAUAUUGUUGUUCCUUUGCAGAUGCAGGUCAUUCUAGAUACAUACUAUCUUCUUUAUGUUUAAUCUGCUCUCGAGCGACAGUUUUGACAUGCCAAGUUUGAUCCAUCAAAAGAAGGAGGCUAAAGGAGUGGUGAAUUUUUUGCCCAGUUUCAAGUUUGAUAAAUUAAGUAAUCUGCCCCGAGCGAUUGUUUUGACAGGACAACUCUGAUCCAUUUGAAGGAGGUUCAGGGAGUGGUGAAUUUACUGCCUAGUUCCAAGAUGUAUAAAAUCAAGUAACAUAUUCUCGAGGUUUUUGAUAAGCUAGCUUUCAUCGAUAUGAAUAAGGAGGCUCAGGGAGUGGUGAAUUUGUUAAAUAGUUUCAAGAUGGAGAUAAUUAAGUAGCCUGCUCUCGAGCGAUGGUUUUGAUAGGAGUUUUGGUCCAUCUAAAGGAGACUCUGGGAGUGGUGAAUCUGUUUCCCAGUUUCAAGAUGGAUAAAAUUAAGUAACCUGCUCUUGAGUGAUAGUUUUGACAUGAAUUUUGAUCCAUCUGAAGAAGGAGGCACGAGGAGUGGUGAAUUUUGUUCCCGGUUUCAAAUUAGAGAAAAUCAAGAUAGAUCCAAAUGGGGUGGUUGUCGGGCUUGUGGAACCAGGGUAUCUAGGCCCGUCUGCCUUCGGCUCAGGACAUGGCGGAUGGCGUAGGCCCGGCAAGGGGCCCACCGGUAGGCGCCAAAAAUCCCUUGUGAGACCCUUGAAGGAAAUAUACCCUAGAGGCAAUAAUAAAUUUGUUAUUUAUAUUUCCUUAUAUCGUGAUAAAUGUUUAUUAUUCAUGCUAGAAUUGUAUUAACCGGAAACUUAGUACAUGUGUGAAUACACACACAAAACAGAGUGUCCCUAGUAUGCCUCUACUUGACUAGCUCGUUAAUCAAAGAUGGUUAAGUUUCCUGACCAUAGACAUGUGUUGUCAUUUGAUGAACGGGAUCACAUCACUAGAGAAUGAUGUGACGGACAAGACCCAUCCGUUAGCUUAGCAUUAUGAUCGUUUAGUUUUAUUGCUAUUGCUUUCUUCAUGACUUAUACAUAUUCCUCUGACUAUGAGAUUAUGCAACUCCCGAAUACCGGAGGAACACCUUGUGUGCUAUCAAAUGUCACAAGGUAAUUGGGUAAUUAUAAAGAUGCUCUACAGGUGUCUCCGAUGGUGUUUGUUGAGUUGGCAUAGAUCAAGAUUAGGAUUUGUCACUCCGUAUAUCGGAGAGGUAUCUUUGGGCCCUCUCGGUUAUGCACAUCAAUAUAAGCCUUGCAAGCAAUGUGACUAAUGAGUUAGUUGCGGGAUGAUGCAUUUUGAAACGAGUAAACAGACUUGCGGGUAACGAGAUUGAACUAGGUAUGAUGAUACCGAUGAUCGAAUCUCGGGCAAGUAACAUACCGAUGACAAAGGGAAUAACGUAUGUUGUUAUGCGGUUUAACCGAUAAAGAUCUUCGUAGAAUAUGUAGGAGCCAAUAUGAGCAUCCAGGUUUCGCUAUUGGUUAUUGACUGGAGAUGUGUCUCGGUCAUGUCUACAUAGUUCUCAAACCCGUACGGUCCGCAAGCUUAACGUUUGAUGACGAUUUGUAUUAUGAGUUAUGUGUUUUGGUGACCGAAGUUUGUUCGGAGUCCCGGAUGAGAUCACGGAAAUGACGAGGGGUCUCGAAAUGGUCAAGAGGUAAAUAUUGAUAUAUUGGAAGGUUAUAUACGGACAUUGGAAUGGUUUCGAUAAGGUUCGAGGAUUUUUCGGAGUACCAGGAGGCGACCGGAACCCCCCGGGAAAGUUAAUGGGCCUAAUGGGCCAUAGUGGAGGAGAGGAGGCAUGCCACGGGAGGUGGUGCGCGCCCCCCUUGCCCAAUCCGAAUUGGACAAGGGGAGGGGGUGCACCCCCCUCUUUCCUUCUCCUUCUACCGCCUUUCCCCUUCCCCCCUCUCCGUUGGAAGGAAAAGGGGAGGGGGGCGAAUCCUACUAGGAACGAAGUCCUAGUAGGACUCCCCCCUCUUGAAGCCCCCCUUGGGCCGGCCUCCUCAUCCCCCUCCUUUAUAUACGUGGGCAGGGGGCACCCCAAAGGCGCAACAGUUGUUUCUUAGCCGUGUGCGGUGCCCCCCUCCACAGUUUACUCCUCCGGUCAUAGCGUCGUAGUGCUUAGGUGAAGCCCUGCGCGGAUCACAUCACCAUCACCAUCAUCACUCUGUCAUACUGUCGGAACUCUCCCUUGACCCUCUACUGGAUUAAGAGCUCGAGGGACGUCAUCGAGCUGAACGUGUGCUGAACACGGAGGUGUCAUACAUUCGGUAUUUUGGAUUGGUUGGAUCAUGAAGACGUUCGACUACAUCAACCACGGUUACCUGAUGCUUCCGCUUUCGGUCUACGAGGGUACGUGGACACACUCUUCCGUCUCAUUGCUAUGCAUCUCCUAGAUAGCUUUUGCGUGAUCGUAGGAUUUUUUUUUGAAAUUGCAUGCUACAUUCCUCUACAGUGGCAUCCGAGCCAGGUCUAUGCGUAGAUGAUAUGCACGAGUAGAACACAAAGAGUUGUGGGCGUUAAUAGUCAUACUGCUUACCACCAACGUCUUACUUUGAUUCGACGGUAUUGUUGGAUGAAGCGGCCCGAACCGACAUUACAUGACCGCAUUCAUGAGACUGGUUCUACCGACGUGCUUCGCACAUAGGUGGCUGGUGGGUGUCUGUUUCUCCAACUUUAGUUGAAUCGAGUUUGACUACGGCCGGUCCUUGUUGAAGGUUAAAACAACACACUUGACGAAAAAUCGUUGUGGUUUUGAUGCGUAGGUAAGAACGGUUCUUGCUAGAAGCCCGUAGCAGUAAUGUAAAACUUGCAACAACAAAAUAGAGGACGUCUAACUUGUUUUUGCAGGGCAUGUUGUGAUAUGAUAUGGUCAAGACGUGAUGAGAUAUAAAUUGUUGUAUGAGAUGAUCAUGUUUUGUAAAAGUUAUCGGCAACUGGCAGGAACCUUAUGGUUGUUGCUUUAUUGUAUGAAAUGCAAUCGCCAUGUAAUUGCUUACUUUAUCACUAAGUGGUAGCGAUAGUCGUAGAAGAAAUAGUUGGCGAGACGACAACGACGCUACGAUGGAGAUCAAGGUGUCAAGCCGGUGACGAUGGAGAUCAUGACGGUGCUUUGGAGAUGGAGAUCAAAGGCACAAGAUGAUGAUGGCCAUAUCAUGUCACAUAUUUUGAUUGCUUGUGAUGUUUAUCCUUUAUGCAUCUUAUUUUGCUUAGUAUGGCGGUAGCAUUAUAAGAUGAUCCCUCACUAAAUUUUAAGGUACAAGUGUUCUCCCUGAGUAUGCACCGUUGCUACAGUUCGUUGUGCUGAGACACCACGUGAUGAUCGGGUGCGAUAAGCUCUACGUUCACAUACAACGGGUGCAAGCCAGUUUUGCACGUGUAGAAUACUCGGGUUAAACUUGACGAGCCUAGCAUAUGAAGAUAUGGCCUCGGAACACUGAGACCGAAAGGUCGAACGUGAAUAAUAUAGUAGAUAUGAUCAACAUAGUGAUGUUCACCACUGAAAACUACUCUAUCUCAUGUGAUGAUCGGACAUGGUUUAGUUGAUAUGGAUCACGUGAUCAUUUAGAUGACUAGAGGGAUAUCUAUCUAAGUGGGAGUUCUUAAGUAAUAUGAUUAAUUGAACUUUAAUUUAUCAUGAACUUAGUACCUGAUAGUUUUUGCAUAUCUAUGUUGUUGUAGAUCAAUGGCCUGUGCUACCGUUCCCUUGAAUUUUAAUGCGAGCUAAGUUGAAAGAUGAUGGUCGCAACUACACGCAUUGGGUCCGUAACUUGAGGAUUAUCCUCGUUGCUGCACAGAAGAAUUACGUCCUGAAAGCACCGCUAGGUGCAAGACCCGCUGCAGGAGCAACUCUAGACGUUAUGAACGUCUGGCAGAGCAAAGCUGCUGACUACUCAAUACUUUAGUGUGCCAUGCUUUACGGCUUAGAAUCGGGACUUCAAAGACGUUUUGAACGUCAUGGAGCAUAUGAGAUGUUCCAGGAGUUGAAGUUAAUAUUUCAAGAAAAUGCCCGAGUUGAGAGAUAUGAAGUCUCCAACAAGUUCUAUAGCUGCAAGAUGGAGGAGAAUAGUUCUGUCAGUGAACACAUACUCAUAAUGUCUGGGUACCAUAACCACUUGACUUAGCUGGGAGUUAAUCUUCCUGAUGAUAGUGUCAUUGACAGAGUUCUUCAAUCACUGCCACCAAGCUAUAAAGACUUCGUGAUGAACUAUAAUAUGCAAGGGAUGGAAAAGACAAUUCCCGAGCUCUCCGUGAUGCUAAAGGUUGUGGAGGUAGAAAUCAAGAAGGAGCAUCAAGGGUUGAUGGUUAACAAGACCACUAGUUUCAAGAAAAAGGGCAAAGGGAAUAAAGGGAACUUCAAGAAGAAUAGAAAGCAAGUUGUUGCUCCCGGGAAGAAGCCCAAGUCUGGACCUAAGCCUGAAACUGAGUGCUUCUACUACAAAGGGACUGGUCACUAGAAGCGGAACUGCCCCAAGUAUUUGGCGGAUAAGAAGGUUGGCAAAGUGAAAGGUAUAUUUGAUAUACAUGUUAUUGAUGUGGACCUUACUAAUGCUCGUAGUACCGCCUGGGUAUUUGAUACUGGUCUUGUUGCUCAUAUUUGCAACUCGAAAUAGGGGCUACGGAUUAAAUGAAGAUUGGCUAAGGACGAGGUGACGAUGCGCGUGGGAAAUGGUUCCAAAGUUGAUGUGAUUGCCGUCAGCACGCUACCUCUACAUCUACCAUCGGGGUUAGGUUUUAGACCUAAAUAAUUGUUAUUUGGUGCCAAUGUUGAGCAUGAACAUUAUAUCUGGAUCUUGUUUGAUGUGAGACGGUUAUUCAUUUAAAUCAGAGAAUAAUGGUUGUUCUAUUUAUAUGAGUAAUAUCUUUUAUGGUCAUGCACCCUUGAUGAGUGGUGUAUUUUUGUUGAAUCUCGAUUGUAGUGAUACACAUAUUCAUAAUAUUGAAGUUAAAAGAUGCAAAGUUAAUAAUGGUAGUGUAACUUAUUUGUGGCACUCCCGUUUAGGUCAUAUUGGUGUAAAGUGCAUGAAGAAACUCCAUGUUGAUGGGCUUUUGGAAUCACUUGACCCUUGCGAACCAUGCCUCAUGGGCAAGAUGACUAGGACUCUGUUCUCCAGAACAAUGGAGCGAGCAACUGACUUAUUGGAAAUAAUACAUACUGAUGUAUGCGGUCUGAUGAGUAUUGAGGCUCAUGGUGGGUAUCAUUAUUUUCUAACCUUCACAGAUGAUUUGAGAAGAUAUGGGUAUAUCUACUUAAUGAAACAUAAGUCUGAAACAUUUGAAAAGUUCAAAGAAUUUCAGAGUGAAGUGGAAAAUCAUCGUAACACGAAAAUAAAGUUCCUACGAUCUGAUCGUGGAGGUGAAUAUUUGAGCUAUGAGUUUGGUCUUCAUUUGAAACAAUGUGGAAUAGUUUCACAACUCAUGCCACCUGGAACACCACAGCGUAAUGGUGUGUCCGAACAUCGUAACCGUACUUUAUUAGAUAUGGUGUGAUCUAUGAUGUCUCUUACCGAUUUCCCACUAUCGUUUUGGGGUUAUGCUUUAGAGACGGCUACAUUCACGUUAAAUAGGGCACCAUCUAAAUCCUUUGAGAUGACACCAUAUGAACAGUGGUUUCACAACAAACCUAAGCUGUCGUUUCUUAAAGUUUGGGGCUGCGAUGCUUAUGUGAAAAAGCUUCAACCUGAUAAGCUCGAACCCAAAUCGGAGAAAUGUGUCUUCAUAGGAUAUCCAAAGGAGACUUUUGGGUACACCUUCUAUCAUAGAUCCGAAGGCAAGAUAUUCAUUGCUAAGAAUGGAUCCUUUUUAGAGAAGGCAUUUCUCUCGAAAUAAGUGAGUAGGAGGAAAGCAGAACUUGAUGAGGUAAUUGUACCUUCUCCCGAAUUGGAAAGUAGUUCAUCACAGAAAUCAGUUCCAGUGAUUCCUACACCAAUCAGUGAGGAAGCUAAUGAUGAUGAUCAUGAAACUUCAGAUCAAGUUACUACCGAACCUCGUAGGUCAACCAGAGUACGAUCCACACCAGAGUGAUACGGUAAUCCUGUUCUGGAAGUCAUGUUACUUGACCAUGAUGAACCUAUGAACUAUGAGGAAGUGAUGAUGAGCCCAGAUUCCGUGAAAUGGCUUGAGGCCAUGAAAUCUGAGAUGGGAUCCAUGUAUGAGAACAAAGUGUGGACUUUGGUUGACUUGCCCGAAGAUCGGCAAGCCAUAGAGAAUAAAUGGGUCUUCAAGAAGAAGACUGACGCUGACGGUAAUGUUACUGUCUACAAAGCUCAACUUGUUACGAAAGGUUUUCGACAAGUUCAAGGAGUUGACUACGAUGAGACCUUCACACCCGUAGUGAUGCUUAAGUCUGUCCGAAUCAUGUUAGCAAUUGCCGCAUUUUAUGAUUAUGAAAUUUGGCAAAUGGAUGUCAAAACUGCAAUCCUUAAUGGAUAUCUUAAAGAAGAGUUGUAUAUGAUGUCGAUCCUAAAGGUGCUAACAAAGUGUGCAAGCUCCAGUGAUCCAUUUAUGGACUGGUGCAAGCCUCUCGGAGUUGGAAUAUACGCUUUGAUAGUGUGAUCAAAGUAUAUGGUUUUAUACAGACUUUUGGAGAAGUCUGUAUUUACAAGAAAGUGAGUGGGAGCUCUGUAGCAUUUCUAAUAUUAUAUGUGGAUGACAUAUUGUUGAUUGGAAAUAAUACAAAAUUUCUGGAUAGCAUAAAAGGAUACUUGAAUAAGAUUUUUUCAAUGAAAGACCUCGGUGACGCUGCUUAUAUAUUGGGCAUCAAGAUCUAUAGAGAUAUAUCAAGACGCUUAAUUGGACUUUCACAAAUCACAUACCUUGAUAAAGUUUUGAAGAAGUUCAAAAUGGAUAAGUCAAAGAAAGGGUUCUUGCCUGUGUUACAAGGUGUGAAGUUGAGUCAGACUCAAUGCCCGAUCACUGAGGAAGAUAGAGAGAAAAUGAAAGUCAUUCCCUAUGCCUCAGCCAUAGGUUCUAUCAUGUAUGCAAUGCUGUGUACCAGACGUGAUGUGUACAUUGUUGUUUAGUAGGGAGGUACCAAAGUAAUCCAAGAGUGGAUCACUGGAUAGCGGUCAAGAACAUCCUGAAAUACCUGAAAAGGACUAAGGAUAUGUUUCUCGUUUAUGGAGGUGACAAAGAGCUUGUCGUAAAUGGUUACGUCGAUGCAAGCUUUGACACUGAUCUGGAAGACUUUAAGUCACAAACCGGAUACGUAUUUAUAUUGAAUGGUGGAGCUGUUAGUUGGUGCAGUUCCAAGAAGAGCGUCGUGGCGGGAUCUACGUGUGAAGCGGAGUACAUAGCUGCUUCGGAAGCAGCAAAUGAAGGAGUCUGGAUGAAGGAGUUCAUAUCCGAUCCAGGUGUAAUACCUAGUGCAUCGAGUCCAAUGAAAAUCUUUUGUGACAAUACUAGAGCAAUUGCCUUAGCGAAGGAAUCCAGAUUUCACAAGAGAACCAAACACAUCAAGAGACGCUUCAAUUCCAUCCAUGAUCGAGUCAAGGAGGGAGACAUAGAGAUUUGCAAAAUACAUACGGAUAUGAAUGUUGCAGACGCUUGACUAAGCCUCUCUCACAAGCAAAACAUGAUCCGCACCAAGACUCCAUGGGUGUUAUAAUCAUUACUAUGUAAUCUAGACUAUUGACUGUAGUGCAAGUGGGAGACUGAAGGAUAUAUGCCCUAGAGGCAAUAAUAAAGUUGUUAUUUAUAUUUCCUUAUAUCAUGAAAAAUGUUUAUUAUUCAUGCUAGAAUUGUAUUAACCAAAAACUUAGUACAUGUGUCAAUACAUAGACAAAACAGAGUGGCCCUAGUAUGCCUCUACUUGACUAGCUUGUUAAUCAAAGAUGGUUAAGUUUCUUGACCAUAGACAUGUAUUGUCAUUUGAUGAACGGGAUCACAUCAUUAGAGAAUGAUGUGAUGGACAAGACCAUCUGUUAGCUUAGCAUUAUGAUCGUUUAGUUUUAUUGCUAUUGCUUUCUUCAUGACUUAUACAUAUUCCUCUGACUAUGAGAUUAUGCAACUCCCGAAUACUGGAGGAACACCUUGUGUGCUAUCAAACGUCACAAUGUAACUGGGUGAUUAUAAAGAUGCUUUACAGGGGUCUCUGAUGGUGUUUGUUGAGUUGGCAUAGAUCAAGAUUAGGAUUUGUCACUUCGUAUAUCGGAGACGUAUCUUUGGGCCCUCUCGGUAAUGCACAUCACUAUAAGCCUUGCAAGCAAUGUGACUAAUGAGUUAGUUGUGGGAUGAUGCAUUACGGAACGAGUAAAGAGACUUGCCGGUAACGAGAUUGAACUAGGUAUGAUGAUACCGACGAUCGAAUCUCGGGCAAGUAACAUACCGAUGACAAAGGGAAUAACGUAUGUUGUUAUGCGGUUUGACCGAUAAAGAUCUUCGUAUAAUAUGUAGGAGCCAAUAUGAGCAUCCAGGUUCCCCUAUUGGUUAUUCAUCGGAGAUGUGUCUCGGUCAUGUCUACAUAAUUCUCGAACCCGUAGGGUCCGCACGCUUAAUGUUCGAUGGCGAUUUGUAUUAUGAGUUAUGUGUUUUGGUGACCGAAGUAUGUUCGUAGUCCCAGAUGAGAUCACGGACAUGACGAGGAGUCUCGAAAUGGUCAAGAGGUAAGGAUUGAUAUAUUGGAAGGUUAUAUACGGACACCGGAAUGGUUUCGAUAAGGUUCGGGGAUUUUUCGGAGUACCGGGAGGCUACCGGAACCCCCCGGGAAAGUUAAUGGGCCUAAUGGGCCAUAGUGGAGGAGAGGAGGCAGGCCACGGGAGGUGGCUCCCCCCUUCCCCUAUCCGAAUUGGACAAGGGGAGGGGGCGCGACCCCCCUCUUUCCUUCUCCUUCUCUCAUCUUUCCCCUUUCCCCCUCUCUGUUGGAAGGAAAGGGGGGGGGGGGAAUCCUACUAGGAACGGAGUCCUAGUAGGACUCCUCCCUCUUGGCGCGCCCCCCUUGGGCCGUCUCCUCCUCCCCCCUCCUUUAUAUACGUGGGCAGGGGGGCACCCCAAAGGCACAAUAGUUGUUUCUUAGCCGUGUGCAGUGCCCCCCUCCACAGUUUACUCCUGCGGUCAUAGCGUCGUAGUGCUUAGGCGAAGCCCUGUACGGAUCACAUCACCAUCACCGGCAUCACGCCGUCGUACUGUCGGAACUCUCCCUCGACCCUCUACUGGAUCAAGAGCUCGAGGGACGUCAUCGAGCUGAACGUGUGCUGAACACGGAGGUGUCGUACGUUUGGUACUUGGAUCGGUUGGAUCGUGAAGACGUUCGACUACAUCAACCGCGUUAACCUAACGCUUCCGCUUUCGGUCUAUGAUGGUACGUGGCCACACUCUUCCCAUCUCAUUGCUGUGCAUCUCCUAGAUAGAUCUUGCGUGAUCGUAGGAUUUUUUUGAAAUUGCAUGCUAUAUUCCCCUACAACCCUGGCCUCCUGAGGUCCCCUGUCGACGGGGUGAGCUAGCAGUGAAGACGCAGUGGCAUCACCGAGAGCCUCACGAGGCCCUCUCGCAAGGCAGUCUCCCGAGGCACCCUCCCUGAGGCAAGCAAGUCAAGGGAUGUUCAGCUCGAUCAUGCGGCCCCGUGCCCACCACGUGGGUGACGCGCGCAAUGCGAACAGCGGCAGAAGCUGUGCCAGCAGGCGCGGAUGAAGAGGAUUUCCCCUUUUGUGCUAAGGGAGCAAGGUGCAUUCCAACUCCCAAAGCAACCCCCAAAGGUUGCCCGAUCGGUGAAAGAAGACCAGGACGACGAGCCGCAGUGCGGUGGUCAUUCUCAAGUUCACCCGCGCGUCAUGGAUGGUAGCUUUGCAGUGAAUACCACUUUUAGUCAGGAUAGACUGUGCCCUUGUCCCCUUUCAAACUUGCCAUUGUGUGGCAAUCCUUCUCGCCUAAGGUUUUCGGGGGAAGAGGACCAAGACAAUAUAAAAGGAGGGCAAGGUGCCAGUCUAGAGGAUAUCGAUCCGUCAACCACGUGAGCCACAACCUUUUUACUCUCUCUCUCUCUCUCUUUCUCUCUCUCUAGCAAUCCCAACCAAGCAGGAGUAGGAUUUUACACCGCAAGGUGGCCCGAACCUGGGUAACCGCUGUGCCACCGGUUCAUCCUAGCUAGCUCGCUCUCGCUAUAGUCACACCAUGGUUUGAUUGUUGGUAAGGACAAAGAGGUAGAAGGAGCUUACCCCAGAGUUCAAACCUUAGGGUCCCCGGAGCCUGGUUUCCGACAGUGGCACACGAUAUUGCAAAAUUCUUCCUUCCAUCUGAAUCUAAUGAGAUUGUAGAAACUUACUUUGAGUUAAUAUAUGGUGGUUUCAGAAAAAAUAUAUGUUAUAAGCACUCCUAUUAGAGAAAAAAUCAAUGUACUUAUAAUGUCAAACUACAAAAUCCUCAUUUGACAGAGAAGGUAUAUGAAGACCCAGAGACUGCAUGUGCAUCAAGAAGAUAAAAAAUGAUGCUUGACUAUUUCUUCAUCUCAUUUCCUUGUAUUGGGAACAAAUAAUUCAGAAACCUAUUUCAGCCUUAAUCUAUUCCUUUUAUCUGUAAUUUUGAGGAUUGAAUUCCCACUAGUAACAAGUUGUCCCUCCAAACAUUUACAUUUUAUCCAAUUUACAACCUCAAGAUAACUCCUUAAGCAAUAAUAAGUGGGUGUAUUUUCCUUUCCCUCACGCAAAUGUGGCUAGGGCAAAAUUCUCCUCUGCUCCAAGAUCCACCGGCUACCCCGUGGAUUCUCCUCCCCUUUGCCUGCCGCUUCAGCGGUUGGUGGUGCAGAGGGGAAUUCUGGUGCCUCGGCUCUAGCAAGUAGCUUAUGCGAGAGUAUCUCCAACAGUGGCUGCAAAAAACGCGCGCACGGUAAAAAGAGGUGUUAGCGCGCGCGGGGCGGUUUCACGCGCUCCAGCGGUGGCGGGAAACUUAGGCGCGCGCGAAAAAGCGGCCGGUGCGCACUAGUUUUGGCGCAGGGCCUUCAGCGCGCCUUAUAAAUGCAGCGCCCGCCACACGCCCUCCUACCGCUAUCCACCUCGCCACGCACCCUUUGCCGCUCUCUCCCCGCUCCCUGUGCCGCUUUCUCACCUUGCCGCCGCCGCGCCGCCGAGGAGUUUUGGGCUACCACGACAUCCGCACGCGCCCCUCCGGCGCCUUCUCUGCCGUGAUCCGGUUCGGCGACAUGCACCUCGGCCUCAGCACCUUCGACACGCCCAUGAGGCCGCCCGCGCAUACGACGCGGCGGCGUGGUGCCUCCGGCGGCCUCGUAGGGACAUGAACUUUCCGAAGGUGCCGACGCGGGAGCUGGCGCCUCUCCUGUGGCUUAUCACCAACGAGGAUCGUCGCGACAACCGGAGGUGGGAGCGCUGUCUCGGCCUUGCCGAGAUGGACGGGGAAGCCUUAGCGCUAUGGCGCGAACGCUUCCGGCGGGAUGUUUGUUGGGGAACGUAGUAAUUUCAAAAAAAUUCCUACGCACACGCAAGAUCAUGGUGAUGCAUAGAACUGAGAGGGGAGAGUGUUGUCUACGUACCCUCGUAGACCGGCAACGGAAGUGUUGACACAACGUAGAGGAAGUAGUCGUACGUCUUCCCGAUCCGACCGAUCCAAGUACCGAACGUACGGCACCUCCGAGUUCUGCACACAUUCAACUUGGUGACGUCCCUCGAGUUCCGAUCCAGCAAAACGUUGAGGGAGAGUUUCGUCAGCACGACGGCGUGAUGACGGUGAUGAUGUUCUAUCGACGUAGGGCUUCGCCUAAGUGAUACGUCUCCAACAUAUCUAUAAUUUUUGAUUGCUCCAUGCUAUAUUAUCUACUGUUUUGGGCAAUAUUGGGCUUUAUUAUCCACUUUUAUAUUAUUUUUGGGACUAACCUAUUAACCGGAGGCCCAGCCCAGAUUUGCUGUUUUAUGCCUAUUUCAGUGUUUUGUAGAAAAGGAAUAUCAGACGGAGUCGAAACGGAACGAAAUCAACUGGAGAAGUUAUUUUUGGAAGGAAACACACCUGAUGGACUUGGACCCCACGUCAGAAGAUACGGGAGCUGACCACGAGGGUGGGGGCGCGCCCACCCCCCUAGGGCGCGCCCCCCUGCCUCGUGGGGCCCCCGUGGCUCCCCUGACGUGCUUCUUCUGCCUAUAUAACUCCAUAUACCCUAAAACUUCCAGAACAGACAAUAGAUCGGGAGUUCCGCCGCUGAAAGCCUCCAGAACCACGAAAAACCAAUCGGGACCCCUUUUCGGUACCCUGCCGGAGGGGGGAUCCAUCUCCGGUGGCCAUCUUCAUCAUCCCGGCACUAUCCAUGACGAGGAGGGAGUAGUUCACCCUCGGGGCUGAGGGUAUGUACCAGUAGCUAUGUGUUUGAUCUCUCUCUCUCGUGUUCCAUCUAUGGCACGAUCUUGAUGUAUCCCGAGCUUUGCUAUUGUAGAUGGAUCUUAUGUUUCUUCUCCCCCUCUACUCUCUUGUGAUGAAUUGAGUUUCCCCUUUGAAGUUAUCUUAUCGGAUUGAGUCUUUUAUGAACACUUGAUGUAUGUCUUGCCGUGCUUAUCUAUGGUGACAAUGGGAUAUCAUGUGCCACUUGAUGUAUGUUUUGGUGACCAACUUGCGGGUUCCGCCCAUGAACCUAUGCAUAGGGGUUGGCACACGUUCUUGAUUCUCCGGUAGAAACUUUGGGGCACUAUUUGAAGUACUUUUAUGUUGGUUGGAUAAAUCUGAGAUUGUGUGAUGCAUAUCGUAUAAUCAUGCCCACGGAUACUUGAGGUGACAAUGGAGUAUCUAGGUGACAUUAGGGUUUUGGUUGAUUUGUAUCUUAAGGUGUUAUUCUAGUAAAAACUCCAGGGUUGUUUGUGACACUUAUAGGAAUAGCCCAACAGAUUGAUUUGAAAGAAUAACUUUGAGGUGGUUUCGUACCCUACCAUAAUCUCUACGCUUGUUCUCCGCUAUUAGUGGCUUCGGAGUGACUCUUUGUUGCAUGUUGAGGGCUCGUUAUAUGAUCUAUCUAUGUUAUUAUUGUUGAGAGAACUUGCACUAGUGAAAGUAUGAACCCUAGGCCUUGUUUCCUAUCAUUGCAAUACCGUUUACGCUCACUUUUACCACUCGCUACCUUGCUAUUUUUAUAUUUUCAGUUUACAAAAACCUAUAUCUACUAUCCAUAUACCACUUGUUUCACCAUCUCUUCAUCGAACUAGUGCACCUAUACAAUUUACCAUUGUAUUGGGUGUGUUGGGGACACAAGAGACUCUUUGUUAUUUGGUUGCAGGGUUGCUUGAGAGAGACCAUCUUCAUCCUACGCCUCCUACGGAUUGAUAAACCUUAGGUCAUCCACUUGAGGGAAAUUUGCUACUGUCCUACAAACAUCUGCACUUGGAGGCCCAACAAUGUCUACAAGAAGAAGGUUGUGUAGUAGACAUCACUAAGCACCGCUACGAUAUGACCGAGGUGGAAUAUGGUGGAAGGGGGCACCGCACACGGCUAAGGAACGAUCACGAGGAUCAACUUGUGUGUCAUGGGGUGCCCCCUUGCCUCAGUAUAUAAAGGAGGGAGAGGGGGAGGUGUGACCGGCCCUAUGGGUGCGCCUGGAGGAGUCCUACUCCAACCUGGAGUAGGACUCCCCCCUCUUGCCUUGUUGGAAAAGGAAGGAGGAAGGGAGAAAGAGGAAAGGGGGGCACCGCCCCCCCCCUCCUUGUCCUAUUCGGACUAGGGGGGAAGGGGGGCGUGGCCUGCCCUGGCCGGCCCUCCUCUCUCCCUUAUGGCCCAUGUAGGCCCAAUAACCCCCGGUGGGGUUUCCGGUAACCCCCCGGUACUCCGGUAAAAUCCCGAUUUCACCCGGAACAUUUCCGAUAUCCAAAUAUAGGCUUCCAAUAUAUCAAUCUUUAUGUCUCGACCAUUUCAAGACUCCUCGUCAUGUCCAUGAUCACAUCCGGGACUUCGAACAACCUUCGGUACAUCAAAACACAAAAACCCUAAUUACGAUCGUCACCGAACUUUAAGCGUGCGGACCCUACGGGUUCGAGAACUAUGUAGACAUGACCGAGACACGUCUCCAGUCAAUAACCAAUAGCAGAACCUGGAUGCUCAUAUUGGCUCCUACAUAUUCUACGAAGAUCUUUAUCGGUCAGACCGCAUAACAACAUACGUUGUUCCCUUUGUCAUCGGUAUGUUACUUGCCCGAGAUUCGAUCAUUGGUAUCUCAAUACCUAGUUCAAUCUCGUUACCGGCAAGUCUCUUUACUCGUUCCAUAAUACAUCAUCCUAUAACUAACUUAUUAGUUGCGAUGCUUGCAAGGCUUGAGUGAUGUGCAUUACCGAGAGGGCCCAGAGAUACAUCUCCGACAAUCGGAGUGACAAAUCCUAAUCUCGAAAUACGCCAACCCAAUAAGUACCUUCGGAGACACCUGUAGAGCACCUUUAUAAUCACCCAGUUACGUUGUGACGUUUGGUAGCACACAAAGUGUUCCUCCGGUAAACGGGAAUUGCAUAAUCUCAUAGUCAUAGGAACAUGUAUAAGUUAUGAAGAAAGCAAUAGCAACAAACUAAACGAUCAAGUGCUAAGCUAACGGAAUGGGUCAAGUCAAUCACAUCAUUCUCCUAAUGAUGUGAUCCCGUUAAUCAAAUGACAACUCAUGUCUAUGGUUAGGAAACAUAACCAUCUUUGAUUAACGAGCUAGUCAAGUAGAGCCGUACUAGUGACUCUGUUUUUGUCUAUGUAUUCACACAUGUAUUAUGUUUCCGGUUAAUACAAUUCUAGCAUGAAUAAUAAACAUUUAUCAUGAUAUCAGGAAAUAAAUAAUAACUUUAUUAUUGCCUCUAGGGCAUAUUUCCUUCAGUCUCCCACUUGCACUAGAGUCAAUAAUCUAGAUUACACAGUAAUGAUUCUAACACCCAUGGAGCCUUGGUGCUGAUCAUGUUUUGCUCGUGGAAGAGGCUUAGUCAGCGGGUCUGCAACAUUCAGAUCCGUAUAUAUCUUGCAAAUUUUUAUGUCUCCUUUAUUUGCUGCUUCCGAAGCAGCUAUGUACUCCGCUUCACAUGUAGAUCCCGCCACGACACUUUGUUUAGAACUGCACCAACUGACAGCUCCACCGUUCAGUAAAAACACAUAUCCGGUUUGCGAUUUAGAAUCGUCCGGAUCAGUGUCAAAGCUUGCAUCAACGUACCCUUUACGAUGAGCUCUUUGUCACCUCCAUAUACGAGAAACAUAUCCUUAGUCCUUUUCAGGUAUUUCAGGAUGUUCUUGACCGCUGUCUAGUGAUCCACUCCUGGAUUACUUUGGUACCUCCCUGCUAGACUUAUAGCAAGGCACACAUCAGGUCUGGUACACAACAUUGCAUACAUGAUAGAGCCUAUGGCUGAAGCAUAGGGAACAUCCUUCAUUUUCUCUCUAUCUUCUGCGGUGGUCGGACAUUGAGUCUUACUCAACUUCACACCUUGUAACACAGGCAAGAACACUUUCUUUGCUUGAUCCAUUUUGAACUUCUUCAAAACCUUGUCAAGGUAUGUGCUUUGUGAAAGUCCAAUUAAGCGUCUUGAUCUAUCUCUAUAGAUCUUAAUGCCAAUAUGUAAGCAGCUUCACCGAGGUCUUUCAUUGAAAAACUCUUAUUCAAGUAUCCCUUUAUGCUAUCCAGAAAUUCUAUAUCAUUUCCAAUCAAUAAUAUGUCAUCCACAUAUAAUAUCAGAAAUGCUACAGAGCUCUCACUCACUUUCUUGUAAAUACAGGCUAAUUGUGCUCAAGUGCUAGAAGAAGAAAUCUCUAAAUUGUUUGGCACUAAAUAUUUGAAUGAUGAGCAUGAUUGCAAUGUUGUUAGUAUGAAUUCCUUGAAUAUCCAUGAUGCUAAUGAUAUGCAAAGCCACAAGCUUGGGGAAGCUAUGUUUGAUGAAGAUGAUAUUUUUUGCCCCCCAAGCUUUGAUGAGCAAAUUUACUAUGAUGAAAGCAUGCCUCCUAUCUAUGAUGAUUAUUGUGAUGACAUGUAUGCUUUAAAGAAUAAUGAUAACCAUGAAACUUGUCUCCUUGAUCUUAAUUUUCAAUCACAUGAUAGUUAUUUUGUUGAGUUUGCUCCCACUAUUAUUCAUGAGAAGAAUUUUGCUUAUGUGGAGAGUAAUAAAAUUUGCAUGCUUGUAGAUCAUGAAAAGAAUGCUUUAGGUGCUGGUUAUAUUAUUGAAUUCAUUCAUUAUGCUACUGAAAAUUAUUAUGAGGGAGGAAUAUAUGCUUCUUUGAAUUGUAAUAAUAUCAAGUUUCCUCUCUAUGUGCUUAAAAUUUUGAAGUUAUGCUUAUUUUGCCCUCCUAUGCAAGUUGAUUAUUGUUCCCACAAGUUGUUUGCUCACAAAAUCCCUAUGCAUAGGAAGUAUGUUAGACUUAAAUGUGAUAGUCAUAUUCUUCGUGAUGCUCUCUUUAUGUUUCAAUUCUUAUCUUUUAUGUGAGCAUCGUUGAAAUCAUCAUGCCUAGCUAGGGGCGGUAAACGAUAGCGCUUGUUGGGAGGCAACCCAAUUUUAUUUUAGUUCCUUGAUUUUUGUUCCUGUUUAGUAAUAAAUAAUUCAUCUAUCCUCUGUUUAUAUGUGGUAUUAUGCUUUUAAUUAGUGUUUGUGCCAAGUAGAACCUUUGGGAAGACUCGGGGAAAGUCUUGUUGAUCAUGCUGUAAAAAACAGAAACUUUAGCGCUCACGAGAAUUGCUGCCAUUUUUUAUUUGGAGAGUGCUAUUUAGAUAAUUAUUUUUGAAGAUGAUUAAUAGAUAAAUUCCUCAGGUCCAGCAAUUUAUUUGAGAAUUUUAUGAGUUCCAUAAUUAUACGUUUGAUUCAGAUUACUACAAACUGUUCUGUUUUUGACAGAUUCUGUUUUUCAUGUGUUGUUUAUUUAUUUUGAUGAAUCUAUGGCUAGUAAAAUAGUUUAUAAUCCAUAGAGAAGUUGGAAUACAGUAGGUUUAACACCAAUAUAAAUAAAUAAUGAGUUCAUUACAGUAACUUGAAGUGGUCUUUUGUUUUCUUUCGCUAACGGAGCUCACGAGUUUUCUACUUUAAGUUUUGGUUGUGAAGUUUUCAAGUUUUGGGUAAGGAUUCGAUGGACUAUGGAAUAAGGAAUGGCAAGAGCCUAAUCUUGGGGAUUCCCAAGGCACCCCAAGGUAAUAUUUAAGUAUAGCCAAGAGCCUAAGCUUGGGGAUGCCCCGGAAGGCAUCCCCUCCUUCGUCUUCGUUCAUCGGUAACUUUACUUGGAGCUAUAUUUUUAUUCGCCAAAUGAUAUGUGUUUUGCUUGGAGCGUCAAUUUAUUUUGUUAGAAUUUAAUUGCUGUUAUUUAGAACAAUGUUUUUCAUCUUUUAUUUCAAUAAAAGUGGCAUUGAUAGCCUUUACUAUGCCUAUGUUACAAGUAUACAUGUUGUUGUUUGAAAAAAGAAAGUUUACCGCUGUUGCAAUAAUUCCCUAGAAAAUUCAGAAUGUGAUAAAAUGUUGAAAACUUUUGCAUAUUAAGCCUGAUAAAUUUACUACAGUGGGAAUUUUCUUUCAUAAUUUUUGGAGCUAAGGAAGUAUGGAUGUAGCAGCAUUCUUUACAGACUAUCCUGUUUAGGCAGAUUGCUGUUAUGUUUGCAUAUGUUUGCUUCUUUAAUGAUUCUAUUUGAGGAUAGGACUAUUAAAUAUGCAGAGGCAUUUAGUAUGCAAUGUUGAAUAAUAAUUUUAGUGAUUUUCUACAGUAGAGUAUGAUAAGGUUUUUGCAAUGGUUUAUACUAACUUAUCUCACGACUCCUUGUUGAGUUUUGUGUGGAUGAAGCUUUUGAGAUUUAGGGAGACCGUGAUAUGAGAGGAAUUAAGGAGACACAAAAGCUCAAGCUUGGGGAUGCCCAAGGCACCUCAAGAUAAUAUUUUAAGAAGUCCCAAGCGUCUAAGCUUGGGGAUGCCCCGGUUGGCAUCCCACCUUUCUUCUUCAACAACUAUUGGUUAGUAUCGGUUGAUCCUAAGUUUUUGCUUCUUCACAUGAUGUUUGAUAUUCUUAGAUGUCAUUUUAUUUUGCUUUGCUUGAUGUUUGAAUAAAAUACCAAGAUCUGAAAUUAUUAAAUGGGAGAGUCUUCACAUAGUUACAUAGUUAGUCGACUACUCAUUGAUCUUCACUUAUAUCUUUUGGAGUAGUUUGUUGUUUGCUCUAGUGCUUCACUUAUACCUUUUAGAGCAUGGUGGUAGUUUUAUUUUUAAGAAAUAGAUGAACUCCCAUGUUUCACAUAGAUUAUUUUGAGAGUCAUUAAUAGCAUGGUAAUUCGCUUAAUGUUAAUAUACUUGGUAUUCAAGGUAUGUGAAACUUUCUUUUGAGUGCGUUGAAUACUAAGAUAAGUUUGAUGCUUGAUAAUUGUUUUGAGAUAUGGAGGUGAUAAUAUUAGAGUCAUGCUAGUUGAGUAGUUGUGAAUUUAAAGAAUACUUGUAUUGAAGUUUGUGAUUCCCGUAGCAUGCAUGUAUGGUGAACCGUUAUGUGAUGAAGUCAGAGCAUGAUUUAUUUAUUGAUUGUCUUCCUUAUGAGUGGUGGUCGGGGACGAGCGAUGGUCUUUUCCUACCAAUCUAUCCCCCUAGGAGCAUGCGCGUAAUACUUUGCUUUGAUAACUUGUAGAUUUUUGCAAUAAGUAUAUGAGUUCUUUAUGACUAAUGUUGAGUCCAUGGAUUAUACGCACUUUUUCCCAUCCUUCCACUAUUGCUAGCCUCUCUAAUACCGCGCACCUUUCGUCGGUAUCAUACACCCACCAUAUACUUUCCUUAAAACAGCCACCAUACCUACCUAUUAUGGCAUUUCCAUAGCCAUUCCGAGAUAUAUUGCCAUGCAACUUUCCACUGUUCCGUUUAUUAUGACACGCUCCAUCAUUGUCAUAUUGCUAGCAUGAUCAUGUAGUUGACAUCGUAUUUGUGGCAAAGCCACCGUUCAUAAUUCUUUCAUACAUGUCACUCAUGAGUCAUUGCAUAUCCCGGUACACCGCCGGAGGCAUUCAUAUAGAGUCAUAUUUUGUUCUAAGUAUCGAGUUGUAAUUGUUGAGUUGUAAGAAAAAUAAAAGUGUGAUGAUCAUCAUUAUUAGAGCAUUGUCCCAAGUGAGGAAAGGAUGAUGGAGACUAUGAUUCCCCCACAAGUCGGGAUGAGACUCCGGACGAAAAAUAAAAAAAGAGAAAAAAAGAGGCCGUAAAAAAGAGAGAAAAGGCCCAAACAAAAAAAAAUAAAAAAAUAAAAAAAUGAGAGAAAAAGAGAGAAGGGACAAUGCUACUAUACUUUUACCACACUUGUGCUUCAAAGUAGCACCAUGAUCUUCAUGAUAGAGAGUCUCUCAUUUUGUCACUUUCAUAUACUAGUGGGAAUUUUUUAUUAUAGAACUUGGCUUGUAUAUUCCAAUGAUGGGCUUCCUCAAAAUGCCCUAGGUCUUCUUGAGCAAGCUGAGUUGGUUGCACACCCAUUUAGUUUCUUUUGUUGAGCUUUCACAUACUUAUAGCUCUAGUGCAUCCGUUGCAUGGCAAUCACUACUCACUCACAUUGAUAUCUAUUGAUGGGCAUCUUCAUAGCCCGUUGAUACGCCUAGUUGAUGUGAGACUAUCUUCCCUCUUUUUGUCUUCUCCACAACCACCAUUCUAUUCCACAUAUAGUGUUAUAUCCAUGGCUCACGCUCGUGUAUUGCGUGAAGAUUUAAAAACUUUUGAAAAUGUUAAAGUAUGAAACAAUUGCUUGGCUUGUCAUCGGGGUUGUGCAUGAUUUAAAUAUUUUGUGUGGGGAAGAUGGAGCAUAGCCAGACUAUAUGAUUUUGUAGGGAUAACUUUCUUUGCCAUGUUAUUUUGAGAAGACAUGAUUGCUUUGUUAGUAUGCUUGAAGUAUUAUUAUUUUUAUGUCAAUAUGAACUUUUGUCUUGAAUCUUUCAGAUCUGAAUAUUCAUAUCACAAUUAAGAAGAAUUACAUUGAAAUUAUGCCAAGUAGCACUCCACAUCAAAAAUUCUGUUUUUAUCAUUUACCUACUCAAGGACGAGCAGGAAUUAAGCUUGGGGAUGCUUGAUACGUCUCCAACGUAUCUAUAAUUUUUGAUUGCUCCGUGCUAUAUUAUCUACUGUUUUGGGCAAUAUUGGGCUUUAUUAUCCACUUUUAUAUUAUUUUUGGGACUAACCUAUUAACCGGAGGCCCAGCCCAGAUUUGUUGUUUUAUGCCUAUUUCAGUGUUUUGAAGAAAAGGAAUAUCAGACGGAGUCGAAACGGAACGAAAUCAACUGGAGAAGUUAUUUUUGGAAGGAAACACACCUGAUGGACUUGGACCCCACGUCAGAAGAUACGGGAGCUGACCACGAGGGUGGUGGGCGCGCCCACCCCCCUAGGGCACGCCCCCCUGCCUCGUGGGGCCCCCGUGGCUCCCCUGACGUGCUUCUUCUGCCUAUAUAACUCCAUAUACCCUAAAACUUCCAGAACAGACAAUAGAUCGGGAGUUCCGCCGCCGCAAGCCUCCAGAACCACGAAAAACCAAUCGGGACCCCUUUCCGAUACCCUGUCGGAGGGGGGAUCCAUCUCCGGUGGCCAUCUUCAUCAUCCCGGCGCUAUCCAUGAUGAGGAGGGAGUAGUUCACCCUCGGGGCUGAGGGUAUGUACCAGUAGCUAUGUGUUUGAUCUCUCUCUCUCGUGUUCUCUCUCGUGUUCCAUCUAUGGCACGAUCUUGAUGUAUCCUGAGCUUUGCUAUUGUAGUUGGAUCUUAUGUUUCUUCUCCCCCUCUACUCUCUUGUGAUGAAUUGAGUUGCCCCUUUGAAGUUAUCUUAUCGGAUUGAGUCUAUUAUGAACACUUGAUGUAUGUCUUGCCGUGCUUAUCUGUGGUGACAAUGGGAUAUCAUGUGCCACUUGAUGUAUGUUUUGGUGACCAACUUGCGGGUUCCGCCCAUGAACCUAUGCAUAGGGGUUAGCACACGUUCUUGAUUCUCCGGUAGAAACUUUGGGGCACUAUUUGAAGUACUUUUAUGUUGGUUGGAUAAAUCUGAGAUUGUGUGAUGCAUAUCAUAUAAUCAUGCCCACGGAUACUUGAGGUGACAAUGGAGUAUCUAGGUGACAUUAGGGUUUUGGUUGAUUUGUAUCUUAAGGUGUUAUUCUAGUAAAAACUCCAGGGUUGUUUGUGACACUUAUAGGAAUAGCCCAACGGAUUGAUUUGAAAGAAUAACUUUGAGGUGGUUUCGUACCCUACCAUAAUCUCUACGUUUGUUCUCCGCUAUUAGUGGCUUCGGAGUGACUCUUUGUUGCAUGUUGAGGGCUCGUUAUAUGAUCUAUCUAUGUUAUUAUUGUUGAGAGAACUUGCACGAGUGAAAGUAUGAACCCUAGGCCUUGUUUCCUAUCAUUGCAAUACCGUUUACGCUCACUUUUACCACUCGCUACCUUGCUAUUUUUAUAUUUUCAGUUUACAAAAACCUAUAUCUACUAUCCAUAUACCACUUUUUUCACCAUAUCUUCGCAGAACUAGUGCACCUAUACAAUUUACCAUUGUAUUGGGUGUGUUGGGGACACAAGAGACUCUUUGUUAUUUGGUUGCAGGGUUGCUUGAGAGAGACCAUCUUCAUCCUACGCCUCCUAUGGAUUAAUAAACCUUAGGUCAUCCACUUGAGGGAAAUUUGCUACUGUCCUACAAACCUCUGCACUUGGAGGACCAACAACGUCUACAAGAAGAAGGUUGUGUAGUAGACAUCACUAAGCACCGCUACGAUAUGACCGAGGUGGAAUAUGGUGGAAGGGGGCACCGCACAUGGCUAAGGAACGAUCACGAGGAUCAACUUGUGUGUCAUGGGGUGCCCCCUUGCCUCAGUAUAUAAAGGAGGGAGAGGGGGAGGUGUGGCCGGCCCUAUGGGUGCGCCUGAAGGAGCCCUACUCCAACCGGGAGUAGGACUCCCCCCUCUUGCCUUGUUGGAAAAGGAAGGAGGAAGGGAGAAAGAGGAAAGGCCCCCCCUUCCUUGUCCUAUUCAGACUAGGGGGUAAGGGGGCGCGCGGCCUGCCCUGGCCGGGCCUCCUCUUCUCCCUUAUGGCCCAUGUAGGCCCAAUAACCCCCGGGGGGGUUCCGGUAACCCCCCGGUACUCCGGUAAAAUCCCGAUUUCACCCGGAACGUUUCCGAUAUCCAAAUAUAGGCUUCCAAUAUAUCAAUCAUUAUGUCUCGACCAUUUCGAGACUCCUCAUCAUGUCCAUGAUCACAUCCGGGACUUCGAACAACCUUCAGUACAUCAAAACACAAAAACCCUAAUUACGAUCGUCACCGAACUUUAAGCAUGCGGACCCUACGGGUUCGAGAACUAUGUAGACAUGACCGAGACACGUCUCCGGUCAAUAACCAAUAGCGGAACCUGGAUGCUCAUAUUGGCUCCUACAUAUUCUACGAAGAUCUUUAUCGGUCAGACCGCAUAACAACAUACGUUAUUCCCUUUGUCACCGGUAUGUUACUUGCCCGAGAUUCGAUCGUUGGUAUCUCAAUACCUAGUUCAAUCUCGUUACCGGCAAGUCUCUUUACUCGUUCCAUAAUACAUCAUCCUGUAACUAACUUAUUAGUAGCAAUGCUUGCAAGGCUUGAGUGAUGUGCAUUACCGAGAGGGCCUAGAGAUACCUCUCCGACAAUCGGAGUGACAAAUCCUAAUCUCGAAAUACGCCAACCCAAUAAGUACCUUCGGAGACACCUGUAGAGCACCUUUAUAAUCACCCAGUUACGUUGUGACGUUUGGUAGCACACAAAGUGUUCCUCCAGUAAACGGGAGUUGCAUAAUCUCAUAGUCAUAGGAACAUGUAUAAGUUAUGAAGAAAGCAAUAGCAGCAAACUAAACGAUCAAGUGCUAAGCUAACGGAAUGGGUCAAGUCAAUCACAUCAUUCUCCUAAUAAUGUGAUCCCGUUAAUCAAAUGACAACUCAUGUCUAUGGUUAGGAAACAUAACCAUCUUUGAUUAACGAGCUAGUCAAGUAGAGGCAUACUAGUGACUCUGUUUUUGUCUAUCUAUUCACACAUGUAUUAUGUUUCCGGUUAAUACAAUUCUAGCAUGAAUAAUAAACAUUUAUCAUGAUAUAAGGAAAUAAAUAAUAACUUUAUUAUUGCCUCUAGGGCAUAUUUCCUUCAGUCUCCCACUUGCACUAGAGUCAAUAAUCUAGAUUACACAGUAAUGAUUCUAACACCCAUGGAGCCUUGGUGCUGAUCAUGUUUUGCUCGUGGAAGAGGCUUACUCAGCGGGUCUGCAACAUUCAGAUCUGUAUGUAUCUUGCAAAUUUCUAUGUCUCCUUUAUUUGCUGCUUCCGAAGCAGCUAUGUACUCUGCUUCACAUGUAGAUCCUGCCACGACACUUUGUUUAGAACUGCACCAACUGACAGCUCCACCGUUCAGCAAAAACACGUAUCCAGUUUGCGAUUUAGAAUUGUCCGGAUCAGUGUCAAAGCUUGCAUCAACGUACCCUUUACGAUGAGCUCUUUGUCACCUCCAUAUACGAGAAACAUAUCGUUAGUCCUUUUCAGGUAUUUCAGGAUGUUCUUGACCACUGUCCAGUGAUCCACUCCUGGAUUACUUUGGUACCUCCCUGCUAGACUUAUAGCAAGGCACACAUCAGGUCUGGUACACAACAUUGCAUACAUGAUAGAGCCUAUGGCUGAAGCAUAGGGAACAUCUUUCAUUUUCUCUCUAUCUUCUGCGGUGGUUGGACAUUGAGUCUUACUCAACUUCACACCUUGUAACAUAGGCAAGAACCCUUUCUUUGCUUGAUCCAUUUUGAACUUCUUCAAAACCUUGUCAAGGUAUGUGCUUUGUGAAAGUCCAAUUAAGCGUCUUGAUCUAUCUCUAUAGAUCUUAAUGCCCAAUAUGUAAGCAGCUUCACCGAGGUCUUUCAUUGAAAAACUCUUAUUCAAGUAUCCCUUUAUGCUAUCCAGAAAUUCUAUAUCAUUUCCAAUCAAUAAUAUGUCAUCCACAUAUAAUAUCAGAAAUGCUACAGAGCUCUCACUCACUUUCUUGUAAAUACAGGCUUCUCCAAAAGUCUGUACAAAACCAAAUGCUUUGAUCACACUAUCAAAGCAUUUAUUCCAACUCCGAGAGGCUUGCACCAGUCCAUAAAUGGAUCGCUGGAGCUUGCACACUUUGUUAGCUCCCUUUGGAUCGACAAAACCUUCUGGUGGCAUCAUAUACGACUCUUCUUCCAGAAAUCCAUUUAGGAAUGUAGUUUUGACAUCCAUUUGCCAAAUUUCAUAAUCAUAAAAUGCGGCAAUUGCUAACAUGAUUCGGACAGACUUAAGCAUCGCUACGGGUGAGAAGGUCUCAUUGUAGUCAAUCCCUUGAACUUGUCGAAAACCUUUUGCAACAAGUCGAGCUUUGUAGACAGUAACAUUACCGUCAGCGUCAGUCUUCUUCUUGAAGAUCCAUUUAUUCUCAAUUGCUUGCCGAUCAACGGGCAAGUCAACCAAAGUCCACACUUUGUUCUCAUACAUGGAUCCCAUCUCAGAUUUCAUGGCUUCUAGCCAUUUGGCGGAAUCUGGGCUCACCAUCGCUUCUUCAUAGUUUGUAGGUUCAUCAUGAUCUAGUAGCAUGACUUCCAGAACAGGAUUACCGUACCACUCUGGUGUGGAUCUUAAUCUGGUUGACUACGAGGUUCGGUAGUAACUUGAUCUGAAGUUUCAUGAUCAUUAUCAUUAGCUUCAUCACUAAUUGGUGUAGGUGUCAUAGAAACCGGUUUCUGUGAUGUACUACUUUCCAAUAAGGGAGCAGGUACAGUUACCUCAUCAAGUUCUACUUUUCUCCCACUCACUUCUUUCGAGAGAAACUCCUUCUCUAAAAAAACUUCGAAUUUAGCAACAAAAGUUUUGCCUUCGGAUCUAUGAUAGAAGGUAUACCCAACAGUCUCCUUUGGGUAUCCUAUGAAGACACAUUUCUCCGAUUUGGGUUCGAGCUUAUCAGGUUGAAGCUUUUUCAUAUAAGCAUCGCAGCCCCAAACUUUCAGAAACGACAACUUUGGUUUCUUGCCAAACCACAGUUCAUAAGGCGUCGUCUCAACGGAUUUCGAUGGUGUCCUAUUUAACGUGAAUGCAGCCGUCUCUAAAGCAUAACCCCAAAAUGAUAACAGUAAAUCAGUAAGAGACAUCAUAGAUCGCACCAUAUCUAAUAAAGUACGAUUACAAUGUUCGGACACACCAUAACGCUGUGGUGUUCCGGGUGGCGUGAGUUGCGAAACUAUUCCGCAUUGUUUCAAAUGUAGACCAAACUCGUAACUCAAAUAUUCUCCUCCACGAUCAGAUCGUAGAAACUUUAUUUUCUUGUUACGAUGAUUUUCAACUUCACUCUGAAAUUCUUUGAACUUUUCAAAUGUUUCAGACUUAUGUUUCAUUAAGUAGAUAUACCCAUAUCUGCUUAAAUCAUCUGUGAAGGUGAGAAAAUAACGAUAUCCGCCACGAACCUCAACAUUCAUUGGACCACAUACAUCUGUAUGUAUGAUUUCCAACAAAUCCGUUGCUCUCUCCAUAGUACCGGAGAACGGCGUUUUAGUCAUCUUACCCAUGAGGCACGGUUCACAAGUACCAAGUGAUUCAUAAUCAAGUAGUUCCAAAAGUCCAUCAGUAUGGAGUUUCUUCAUGCGCUUUCACCGAUAUGACCUAAACGGCAGUGCCACAAAUAAGUUGCACUAUCAUUAUCAACUCUGCAUCUUUUGAUUUCAACAUUAUGAAUAUGUGUAUCACCUACUAUCGAGAUUCAUCAAAAAUAGACCACUCUUCAAGGGUGCAUGACCAUAAAAGAUAUUACUCAUAUAAAUAGAACAACCAUUAUUCUCUGAUUUAAAUGAAUAACCGUCUCGCAUCAAACAAGAUCCAGAUAUAAUGUUCAUGCUCAACGCUGGCACCAAAUAACAAUUAUUUAGGUCUAAUACUAAUCCCGAAGGUAGAUGUAGAGGUAGCGUGCCGACCGCAAUCACAUCGACUUUGGAACCAUUUCCCACGCGCAUCGUCACUUCGUCCUUAGCCAAUCUUCGCUUAAUCCGUAGCCCCUGUUUCAAGUUGCAAAUGUUAGCAACAUAACCAGUAUCAAAUACCCAGGUGCUACUGUGAGCAUUAGUAAGGUACACAUCAAUAACAUGUAUAUCACAUAUACCUUUGUUCACUUUGCCAUCCUUCUUAUCCGCCAAAUACUUGGGGCAGUUCCGCUUCCAGUGACCAGUCUGCUUGCAGUAGAAGUACUCAGUCUCAGGCUUAGGUCCAGACUUGGGUUUUUUCUCCUGAGCAGCAACUUGUUUGUUGUUCUUCUUGAAGUUCCCUUUCUUCUUCCCUUUGCCCUUUUUCUUGAAACUGGUGGUCUUAUUGACCAUCAACACUUGAUGCUCCUUCUUGAUUUUUACCUCCGCGGCUUUUAGCAUCACGAAGAGCUCAGGAAUAGUUUUAUUCAUCCCUUGCAUAUUAUAGUUCAUCACGAAGCUUUUGUAGCUUGGUGGCAGUGAUUGAAGAACUCUGUCAAUGACACUAUCAACAGGAAGAUUAACCCCCAGUUGAGUCAAGUGAUUAUGAUACCCAGACAUUUUGAGUAUAUGUUCACUGACAGAACUAUUCUCCUCCAUCUUGCAGCUAUAGAACUUAUUGGAGACUUCAUAUCUCUCAAUCCGGGCAUUUGCUUGAAAUAUUAACUUCAACUCCUGGAACAUCUCAUAUGCUCCAUGACAUUCAAAACGUCGUUGAAGACCCGGUUCUAAGCCGUAAAGCAUGGCACACUGAACUAUCGAGUAGUCAUCAGCUUUGCUCUGCCAGACGUUCAUAACAUCUAGUGUCGCUCCUGCAGCAGGCUUGGCACUUAGCGGUGCUUCCAGGAUGUAAUUCUUCUGUGCAGCAACGAGGAUAAUCCUCAAGUUACGGACCCAGUCCGUGUAAUUGCUACCAUCACCUUUCAACUUUGCUUUCUCAAGGAACGCAUUAAAAUUCAACGGAACAACAACACGAGCCAUCUAUCUACAAUCAAACAUAGACAAGCAAGAUACUAUCAGGUACUAAGUUCAUGAUAAAUUUAAGUUCAAUUAAUCAUAUUACUUAAGAACUCCCACUUAGAAAGAUAUCCCUCUAAUCCUCUAAGUGAUCACGUGAUCCAAAUCAACUAAACCAUGUCUGAUCAUCAUGUGAGAUGGAGUAGUAUCAAUGGUGAAAAUAUGAUUCACGCUCGACCUUUCGAUCUCCGUGUUUCGAGGCCAUAUCUGUUAUAUGCUAGGCUCGUCAAGUUAAACCUGAGUAUUCCGCGUGUGCAACUGUUUUGCAUCCGUUGUAUUUUAGCGUAGAGCCUAUCACACCCGAUCAUCACGUGGUGUCUCAGCACGAAGAACUUUCGGAACGGUGCAUACUCAGGGAGAACAUUUAUACUUUGAUAAUUUAGUGGGGGAUCAUCUUAUAAUGCUACCGUCAAUCAAAGCAAGAUAAGAUUCAUAAAAUAUAAACAUCACAUGCAAUCAAUAUAAGUGAUAUGUGUUGGGGAACGUUGCAGAAAACAAAAAAAAUUCUACGGUUUCACCAAGAUCCAUCUAGGAGUUCAUCUAGCAACGAGUGGUCGGAUUGCAUCUACAUACCUUUGUAGAUCACGCGCGGAAGCGUUCAAAGAACGGGGAUGAGGAAGUCGUACUCGACGUGAUCCAAAUCACCGGAGAUCCUAGCGCCGAACGGACGGCACCUCCGCGUUCAACACACGUACAGAGCAGCGACGUCUCCUCCUUCUUGAUCCAGCAAGGGGGAAGGAGAGGUUGAUGGAGAUCCAGCAGCACGACGGCGUGGUGGUGGUGGAGCUGCAGUACUCCGUCAGGGCUUCGCCAAGCUCUACGGAGGAGGAGGAGGUGUUGGAGAGGGAGAGGGAGGUGCCAGGGCUUAGGUCUGGCUGCCCUCCUUUCCCCCCACUAUAUAUAGGGCCAAGGGAGAGGGGGGUGCAGCCUUGGCCCUUCCUCCAAGGAAGGGUGCGGCCAGGGAGGAGUCCAUCCUCCCCAAGGCACCUAGGAGGUGCCUUCCCCUUUUAGGACUCUUCCUUUCCUUAUCUCUUGGCGCAUGGGCCUCUUGGGGCUGGUGCCCUUGGCCCAUAUAGGCCAAGGCGCACACCCCUACAGCCCAUGUGGCCCCCCGGGGCAGGUGGCCCCCUUUGGUGGACACCCGGACCCCUUUCGGCACUCCCAGUACAAUACCGAUAAUGCGCGAAACUUUUCCGGCGACCAAAACAAGACUUCCCAUAUAUAAAUCUUUACCUCCGGACCAUUCCGGAACUCCUCAUGACGUCCGGGAUCUCAUCCGGGACUCCGAGCAACAUUCGGGUUACUGCAUAUACAUAUCCCUACAACCCUAGCGUCACCGAACCUUAAGUGUGUAGACCCUACGGGUUCGGGAGACACGUAGACAUGACCGAGACGACUCUCCGGCCAAUAACCAACAGCGGGAUCUGGAUACCCAUGUUGGCUCCCACAUGCUCCUCGAUGAUCUCAUCGGAUGAACCACGAUGUCGAGGAUUCAAUCAAUCCCGCAUACAAUUCCCUUCGUCAAUCGGUAUGUUACUUGCCCGAGAUUCGAUCGUCGGUAUCCCAAUACCUCGUUCAAUCUCGUUACCGGCAAGUCACUUUACUCGUACCGUAAUGCAUGAUCCCGUGACCAGACACUUGGUCACUUUGAGCUCAUUAUGAUGAUGCAUUACCGAGUGGGCCCAGUGAUACCUCUCUGUCAUACGGAGUGACAAAUCCCAGUCUUGAUCCAUGUCAACCCAACAGACACUUUCGGAGAUACCCGUAGUAUACCUUUAUAGUCACCCAGUUACGUUGUGACGUUUGGUACACCCAAAGCACUCCUACGGUAUCCGGGAGUUACACGAUCUCAUGGUCUAAGGAAAAGAUACUUGACAUUGGAAAACUCUAGCAAACGAACUAUACGAUCUUAUGCUAUGUUUAGGAUUGGGUCUUGUCCAUCACAUCAUUCUCCUAAUGAUGUGAUCUCGUUAUCAAUGACAUCUAAUGUCCAUAGUCAGGAAACCAUGACUAUCUGUUGAUCAACGAGCUAGUCAACUAGAGGCUUACUAGGGACAUGUUGGUGUCUAUUAUUCACACAUGUAUUACGAUUUCCGGAUAACACAAUUAUAGCAUGAAUAAAUACAAUUAUCAUGAACAAGGAAACAUAAUAAUAAUGCUUUUAUUAUUGCCUCUAGGGCAUAUUUCCAACAAUAUGAUAUGGCCAUCAUCAUCUUGUGCUUGUGAUCUCCAUCUCCGAAGAACCUUCAUGAUCACCAUUGUCACCGGCGCGGCACCUUGAUCACCAUCGUAGCAUCAUUGUUGUCUCGCCAAUCUUAUGCUUCCACGACUAUCGCUACCGCUUAGUGAUAAAGUAAAGCGUUACAGCGCAAUUGCAUUGCAUACAAUAAAACGACAACCAUAUGGCUCCUGCCAGUUGCCGAUAACUCGGUUACAAAACAUGAUCAUCUCAUACAAUAAAAUUUAGCAUCAUGUCUUGACCAUAUCACAUCACAACAUGCCUUGCAAAAACAAGUUAGACGUCCUCUACUUUGUUGUUGCAAGUUUUACGUGGCUGCUACGGGCUUAGCAAGAACCGUUCUUACCUACGCAUCAAAACCACAACGAUAGUUUGUCAAGUUGGUGUGGUUUUAACCUUCGCAAGGACCGGGCGUAGCCACACUUGGUUCAACUAAAGUUGGAGAAACUGACACCCGCCAGCCACCUGUGUGCAAAGCACGUCGGUAGAACCAGUCUCGCGUAGGCGUCGCGUAAUGUCGGUCCGGGCCGCUUCAUCCAACAAUACUGCCGGACCAAAGUAUGACAUGCUGGUAAGCAGUAUGACUUAUAUCGCCCACAACUCACUUGUGUUCUACUCGUGCACAACAUCAACGCAUAAAACCUAGGCUCGGAUGCCACUGUUGGGGAACGUAGUAAUUUCAAAAAAAUUCCUACGCACACGCAAGAUCAUGGUGAUGCAUAGCAACGAGAGGGGAGAGUGUUGUCUACGUACCCUCGUAGACCGGCAAUGGAAGUGUUGACACAACGUAGAGGAAGUAGUCGUACGUCUUCCCGAUCCGACUGAUCCAAGUACCGAACGUACGGCACCUCCGAGUUCUGCACACGUUCAACUCGGUGACGUCCCUCGAGUUCCGAUCCAGCAAAAUGUUGAGGGAGAGUUUUGUCAGCACGACGGCGUGAUGACGGUGAUGAUGUUCUAUCGACGCAGGGCUUCGCCUAAGCACCGCUAUGAUAUGAUCGAGGUGGAAUAUGGUGGAAGGGGGCACCGCACACGGCUAAGGAACGAUCACGAGGAUCAACUUGUGUGUCAUGGGGUGCCCCCUUGCCUCAGUAUAUAAAGGAGGAAGAGGGGGAGGUGCGGCCGGCCCUAUGGGUGCGCCUGGAGGAGUCCUACUCCAACCGGGAGUAGGACUCCCCCCUCUUGCCUUGUUGGAAAAGGAAGGAGGAAGGGAGAAAGAGGAAAGGGGGGCGCCCCCCCCCUUCCUUGUCCUAUUCGGACUAGGGGGAAGGGGGCGCGCGGCCUGCCCUGNNNNNNNNNNNNNNNNNNNNNNNNNNNNNNNNNNNNNNNNNNNNNNNNNNNNNNNNNNNNNNNNNNNNNNNNNNNNNNNNNNNNNNNNNNNNNNNNNNNNNNNNNNNNNNNNNNNNNNNNNNNNNNNNNNNNNNNNNNNNNNNNNNNNNNNNNNNNNNNNNNNNNNNNNNNNNNNNNNNNNNNNNNNNNNNNNNNNNNNNNNNNNNNNNNNNNNNNNNNNNNNNNNNNNNNNNNNNNNNNNNNNNNNNNNNNNNNNNNNNNNNNNNNNNNNNNNNNNNNNNNNNNNNNNNNNNNNNNNNNNNNNNNNNNNNNNNNNNNNNUACCCAAAUAUAGGCUUCCAAUAUAUCAAUCUUUAUGUCUCGACCAUUUUGAGACUCCUCAUCAUGUCUGUGAUCACAUCCGGGACUCUGAACAACCUUCGGUACAUCAAAACACAAAAACCCUAAUUACGAUCGUCACCGAACUUUAAGCGUGCGGACCCUACGGGUUCGAGAACUAUGUAGACAUGACCGAGACACGUCUCCGGUCAAUAACCAAUAGCGGAACCUGGAUGCUCAUAUUGGCUCCUACAUAUUCUAUGAAGAUCUUUAUCGGUCAGACUGCAUAACAACAUACGUUGUUCCCUUUGUCAUCGGUAUGUUACUUGCCCGAUAUUCGAUCGUCGGUAUCUCAAUACCUAGUUCAAUCUCGUUACCGGCAAGUCUCUUUACUCGUUCCGUAAUACAUCAUCCUGUAACUAACUUAUUAGUUGCAAUGCUUGCCAGGCUUGAGUGAUGUGCAUUACCGAGAGGGCCCAGAGAUACCUCUCCGACAAUUGGAGUGACAAAUCCUAAUCUCGAAAUACGCCAAACCAAUAAGUACCUUCGGAGACACCUGUAGAGCACCUUUAUAAUCACCCAGUUACGUUGUGACGUUUGGUAGCACACAAAGUGUUCCUCCGGUAAACGGGAGUUGCAUAAUCUCAUAGUCAUAGGAACAUGUAUAAGUUAUGAAGAAGGCAAUAGCAACAAACUAAAUGAUCAAGUGCUAAGCUAACAGAAUGGGUCAAGUCAAUCACAUCAUUCUCCUAAUGAUGUGAUCCCGUUAAUCAAAUGACAACCCAUGUCUAUGGUUAGGAAACAUAACCAUCUUUGAUUAACGAGCUAGUCAAGUAGAGGCAUACUAGUGACUCUCUGUUUUUGUCUAUGUAUUCACACAUGUAUUAUAUUUCCGGUUAAUACAAUUCUAGCAUGAAUAAUAAAUAUUUAUCAUGAUAUAAGGAAAUAAGUAAUAACUAUUAUUGCCUCUAGGGCAUAUUUCCUUCAAUUUUAUCAAAGAGCCCCAGUUCUACGCGUAAAGGAGGGCGGAGAGGAGGGUGGAGCGAGCCGCCUAUCACGAGGACAGGCAUAUGGGGAAGGUGGGCGCUCAAUUCAACAUCGACCUAGGAGUUGCGUCGUCCUGGGACUCCGACGAUGAUCGGUACCUUGACGCCUUCAUUGAGACGUCAGAGGAGGACAUCACCGAGGCGGAAGUCAGAGGAGGUGGAGGAUGACGAGUAGUUUUUUAUCUAUCAUUUUAUCUAUCAUAGGAGGAGGCUAUGAACAUCUAUGUAUCGUUUUAUCUAUCUAUCUAUGUACCUUUUAUCUAUGCCUGUCUAUCGUAUCGAGUCGAAGCCGAAUGUGUAUCGAGUCGGAGUAGAAGGAGAAGAAAUAUAGCGCGUCUGCAGGAGCAGCGCGCGUGCAAUUUUUUGCAGCGGCCGCUGGAGCCAGCGCUCCACGGUACGCAAAAACGGGCUGUGAAGGCUGUAAACGCUUUUUUGCGCGCCGUGCGUUGCGUGCCUGUUGGAAAUGCUCUUAGGGAUUUUAGUCUUCGUAGGGCGUCACUCAUACAUAUGUCAACGCUUCAUCUUCGAGUUGAUAUUUUCGGACUUCGAUUGUGCUUAAGUGUAUUCGUCAGGACGAAGUCAACGAAGCUCCAGCAUGAAUUCCUGCCGUCUCCUUUGGGCGGCGAUGUUAGGAGAUCUGGCCGUACGUGCACAAUGACGAGAUCUAGUGUUAGACACUUUAGAUCAAUUCAAUGGUUCAGCAGGGAUGACCAUUACUCCAUGGUGUUGGCUCUUAGAGGCACGUGUAUGAAGAUUUCCGGUUGUCAUUCACAAUGUCAUGCUGGCUCUAGUACAGAAACAACGAUGGUAGCACCUCGGCGGCUCAUUCUGGUGGCGGUGAUAGUCGUUUGGUGGUUUAGAGACCUUGACGUAAUUUGUACUAUGUUUGAGGUGCUUUAACUUCCGAUGAAUUUUUAUAAAAGGUUUAGAUAUUUCGCAAGAAAAAAAAUCUUAAACAGAUCCAAGAAGAUGCUCAUCAGGAAAGUAUACUUUGCCUUGAGCAACCACUCUUUACGCCAGAAAUUCCAGCUCCAUCAAUCGCUUUCAAAAAAUUAAUAAUCGUUCUCACAGAAAAGCAUACAAUGCCUAGCACGCAAAGACGAUAUCUAACCGAGUUGACAAGAGAAAGAAAGAAAAUUCGCAAGAGAAGCUUCAGCUGACAAGGCGGCCCUCCCUCCGUCUUUGGACUGUAGGGCACAGCUGUCCAUGAGAGUGCGUGAAAAGCUCUGCCCUACUGUUUAUCCACAGUGCUCACACGCCAUGGCUAGGGGCGCUAGGCCAAUGAGCAUGAGAAAACACCGCACCUCUCGCGGCAAGAGGCGACGCACGCCACGGCCCCCCGCACAGAGAUCCCCCGCACCCACGAAUCCAUCGGUCACCCCUCCUGUUCCCUCCACGACCCGUCCCACUCCACCACGUCCCAUCAAUCGGCACCACCCAACAGGCAUGAGAUUAGUAGUAAGAUUAAUUAAUCAGCGCGACCCGACGCCCCAACCAGCCGAGUGAUUAAUCAAGCUAACCACCCGCAACUGUUCACGGCGACGAUGAUAAGCCCGGGCCAAGCUGUGACGUGCAAAAAAAGCAAGAAAAAGCACCCGAAUUGGAGGAGUACCUGCGCUGGCUGGGGGCGCGGACCCUGCCACAUGCACGGCGAUCCCGCGCCGGAACAGGGAAUCUAGCCCGGCGGCCGCCGCACGCGCGCGGGCCUGCCACGGCCAGUACUGUUCCGACCCGCCCCUCCCCUCCGCCACCCUUCCUUUCCUAAUCGGGACCGCCUUUAAUUCGCUCCCACACCCGUCGUCGUCGUAGCUCCUGGGGGAGGAAAAGGACCGGCCGUGCCGACCUGCCGUGCGGCGGAGAUUUUCCGGGCCUGUAUAGGUAUACCAUAAAAUAAUAUAUAAACAACGACCGGCGCGGCCAGGUGGAGCGUGCGGGGGCACGGGCCCGGUCGCGCCCCCGAUUUGUUUAACCGCCAGCUUACUGUUCGGGCUCCCCCCGCCGGCCAAUGGGAGCGCACCGUACGCCGCGGCCCCGGGGAGGGGAGGCGAGCGGGCGGGCGAGCGAGACCUCUCCCUCCCUCCCUCACCUUUCCCGUCGCUCCCCCUCCUCCUCCCAUUGGCGGGGCGCCGUUUAUAUACUAGGCGCACACACGCGGGCGCGGCAGAGGGUAAAAAUCUAGCCAGCCGGUGCUCCUUUGUUUGUUUGUUUGUUUGUUCGUGCGGCUGAGCAGGAGGAGGGAGGAGGACGGCGGCGCCGGAGCAGCUGGGAGCGGUUCAGGCAGGGCGGAUCGAGAUGGCGCGGGAGAGGCGGGCGAUACGGCGGAUAGAGAGCGCGGCGGCGCGGCAGGUGACCUUCUCCAAGCGGAGGCGCGGGCUGUUCAAGAAGGCCGAGGAGCUCGCCGUGCUCUGCGACGCCGACGUCGCGCUCGUCGUCUUCUCCUCCACCGGCAAGCUCUCCCAGUUCGCCAGCUCCAGGCACGUACCUUCGCCUCUCCUCUCUUUCCUCCCCGCCCUCUCACCCCCAUCUCCCAUCUCACACACGCAUACACAUGUGUUCUUCUACCUUCUCCAUUCUCUCUUUUCUCUCUUACUCCAGAUCUGUCCGUUCUUCUCGUGUCCCCGACUCGAUGCGGAUUCGGGAUCCUCUUGCUGCACGGGCUAGCUAGGGUUCCCCACCCUUCCCGCACCGCCACCCACCGGCCUGAUUUCCUCCUCCGCUUCUAGGUUUCGGAUUCGGUUACGAUGUCAUCACAUGAUGCUACGAAGAGCCACCAUUUUCUACUCAUCAUGGCUAAAGAUCCUCACGGCCUCCGUCCUUUGCACCGAUCCGGCCGGGCUCGAUUCCGGAGAAAUGGGGAAUUUUUUCACUGUAGUUUCGGCACAGUACCAGAUCGAUCUCCACCUCUUUUGCUCGAUCCGUUCGCGUGUCCUACGCCGGGGAACACGCUGGUGUCCUCCGGUCACUCGCGUGUUCUUUCGCCUUCUUUUAGUAAAAUACUAUAAGCCGGAAGCCUAUCCGUGGCUCUCCGGAAUCUGGAUCGGCGCGUGGGGUGGCAGCAAAAGGCGUCUCUGCAGCUCGUGUACGCCCGUACGUACCUGUGAUUUCAUGUGGUGGCGGCAUGCCGUAUGCAUACCAUGCCUGCGUGCAAAGAGCUCCCCUCCCUCUGGGCUGAGCUCUCGUGCUCUGUGCAGCCGUGGAUAGACUGAUAGAGUAGUACGUACUCCUCCACUAGCAGUAGGAUAAGAGUAGUAGUUUUUCUUGGGCUACUACUAGGUUGUUGCUAUUGGGUUACAUUUAUGGGAUUUGGGCGCUUACCACUAUUGUCUGUUCCGAUACUACCAGAGAAAAAUAACAUUUCAAGUACUACCAGCAUCGUGGCUCUGCUGCAUGUGUUGCGUAAUCAUAACCUUGUGUACCGGCAGGUUGUCCUAAUUUUUUUCUUGACAAUUUCCUCUUGGUACUCGAAAGCAGGUUAAUUAUAUAUAAUAUAAUUGUAUGUACUUUCUGUAAGCUUGUACAAUGCAAGAUGCAUGCCUAGAGGAGAUGCUUGUGAAAAUGAUCUGAUUUUACUUAAGCACCUAUUCUUAUUUGUAUAACACGGACGCUAGGCACCUCUCUAUAUAUAGAAAGCAAUGGUGAUUAAGAAAAAACCGGUUUAUUUUUACAAGCACCUUGCAUUGUACAUGGUUUUAGGGAACGGUUUGUGCAAUUCUUUUAUGGCAUUCAUGUUGGAGCCGAAUGCACUGUUGGGAUUUGUUUGAGUGAGAAGUGAUAUUUGCCACUUGGCAUGGUUUUGCCGAGGAAAAGGGAGAGUUGCAUUUAACAUUUAAGUAUAAGCAGUGAUGGAAGUGCUUAUGGAACCAUAUGCUAUUCCUUUGCCAAACUUUGACAUGUCAAUGGUGAUUUCUAAUAGUCUACCAUAACUAGUCGAAGAAGAAAGGCACACACAUUUUCUUAUAAUAAUUUUCGUUAAUUGCGUCAUCCUCUUAUAAUAUUUGAUUGAUGUCUGGCAGUUUUGUCGCUUGGUGCUGUAUGCACGAUUGCACUAAUGAAACUGGGAGGCUGUGCUCCUGUUAUGAAUAAAAAUCUGCUAUGCAAUGUGUUAUCCAAUAUGAAUUUGAGAAGAUCUAUGUACCAAAUUAAACAAACCCUAACCGAAUCAUGUAUGCAUAGAACAAUUAAGUACUUUGAGUUUGUGGCUGUACCAUGCACCUUAAGGACAUGCUUGGAAGAGGAAUAUUUCUUGGUUAAAGUGUUGGUAUUUAGUUUAAAUUUGACUUAAUACAAAAGUUAUACCAAGAAGUAUUAUUCUAUAAAAGUGCCCCUAAUUGAGUCUUUACAAUCAAGACUCCUAUAGAUCUAAUCAGAAAUUUGUUUACGUACCAUCUUUCUGAUGACAUUACUUUCUCAGAAGUAACUCUGGCUUCUUCUUUUUUCCGGGGAAAAAGUAACUGUGCUAACAUAUAUAAAGGCACAUAUAUGUGCGGCCAUGUAUUUCACUUUAAAUACAGGCAUUCACAUCUCUAGCUUUAAGCAUAUUAGAUGCUAUUGCAUCCAUUUUAUGCAUGGUACCCAGCAAUGCGCAGCCUCCAAUUAUUUUAUUGUUGUUAUUGGCUUGAGAAUACAAUUUCAUGUUUCAGAUCGAACCAUUCAAAAUCCAUCCAUUUGCACAAGAUGUUACACAGUUCCAAAUAGCUUGAACAUAACCCUUUUUACUUAAGAAGAUAAACUAAUAAUUAAGUAUCAUGGAUACUUUUUACAUCAUACUAUAAAAUGACCUUUGGAAUGUUGGACACCCCUAGCUUCAAAAGAGGAUAAGAAUUCAGUGCUUUAUAUAUACUAUAAAAAAAUUAACUCUUUGAAAUCCUCAUUUCUAUGCAUGUGAUAUGAGAUAGAUUAUAUAUGAUAUAUAUACGAGAGAAAAACGAGUUUAUCAGUUCUGAACAAGUGGAUAAUAUCUUAAUUAUUUCAGUUCGAUACUUCUGGACAAUUCACUACUAUAUAUGUGUGUGUGAUUUGCAGGUUAUUCCUCUUAUGUACUAGCUCCUUCCCAAAAUAUAAGGCGCUGAUUGACUUUUCUGGUCUUCGUUACACAACUUUGACUAUGAUUUUCAUGUAUUAUAUGUCUGCAAAAUUAGUAUACAGACACAUGAAAUAAAAUUGUUUUGAAAGAUAAAUACGACGAUACCAUUUAUACAUGUUUAAUCCAUGUACUUUGGGAUAUAUUAGUCAAAGUCGUGCAUCAAAGACCGUGCAAAGUCAAUCACGCCUUAUAUUUUGGGAAGGAGGGAGUACCUUGAACACAUGAUACUGUAUAAAGUUAAUAUGAUAUGCCCCUGAUCAAUUAAUACUACAUUAUAUGCUGGUGUACCUUCAAACACUUUUGUACAGAAUCUUGCUUGUAUUACUAUUUUUAUAUACAUUAUUAAUUUCCUGAUAAACUGUAUAUUUGUGUAAAUUCUGAUGUGAUUUUGGUUUGGUGAACAGCAUGAACGAGAUCAUUGACAAGUAUAGUACUCAUUCAAAGAACCUGGGGAAAUCUGAUCAGCAGCCGGCUAUUGAUUUAAAUGUAUGUAUAGCAAUUUUUUUGUAAAAAAGAGAGCAAAAAGUUAUGUAAUUAACUAGGAAUUAUUAAAUGGAAAGAUUUGUGUGGAGAACCUAGUGACCCCACAUACAUUUACAUUUUUUUUCAAAGAGUAAUAUGAACUCUAUAUACUUCUUUCCAUAGUUGGCUAAUUAAAAAUGUCCUUUGCCAAUCAUUUGUAAACGUUAAAUGAUACUAAUAAAAAAAUCUUGCACUGGCACCUAAUUUCUUGGAGCACACUAAGGAGAGAUAAUGUGCAUGGAUGGAAUAGUGAAGUAUAUACCUGCCUUGGGUCCUAUUUUCUGGCCCACUAGCCAGUUCCUAGCCUGGAACUGUAUUCUUUUUCAAAAAUUUCUUGUAUCAUUUCAUUAUUGUUUUGAAACAUUUUGUCAAAUAAGACAUUUUCGUUAUUUAUUAUUAUUUCCAUGAUCGUCCAAUUUAACAUUGCACAUAUCUCAUAAGAAUUACACAUUUAUUUUCUUUUUUACAUGCAUAUUUAUACUAUUCCUAACGAAAAUGAUAACAGUUACAGAUGUAUUAUCUUUUCAGUUAGAGCACUGCAAGUAUGACAGUUUGAAUGAACAACUCGCAGAAGCAAGUCUUCGACUUAGGUUAUGUUCUGUUCCCAUCCUGGAUUUGUGUGAUUAACUAUAAGUUGUUAACUACAAAGCGGCUGAAAUAUUAACGGUUAAUGCCAUGCUCUAUAUUAUAGACACAUGAGAGGUGAGGAACUUGACGGACUGAGUGUCGGUGAGUUGCAGCAGAUGGAAAAGAAUCUCGAAACAGGAUUGCAGAGGGUGCUUUGUACAAAGGUAGGGUGACAUCUCUUUCUCCUUCAGCUUGGUUUUGAUUGUGCAGGCACUAUGCCAAUUGUUUCACAUGAUAUAUGUGACUGCAGGACCGGCAAUUCAUGCAACAAAUUAGUGACCUCCAACACAAGGUGAGGAAUGAUCUCUAUUGUUUAUUUAGGCUUUUGGCAGCAGAUUGCGCAGUUCCUUUUUUGGAUCAUGUAUGUCAGGCAAAUUAUCAAACUACUUACACAUGUAUAUUUCUUUACAGAGGGAGUAUUAGAUAUACAUGUAUGUAAUGGAGUCGAAUGGGUUUUAUGGCAAUUACCUGAAUUGUUGCAGGCAUGUAGGAAAUUAAUUGUUUGAACUGGUUCAAAAAAAAUUGUUUGAAAAUGUUGCAUGCUAAGAACCUUAAUUUAUAGUGAAUAAUAUUGUGUAUUACAUAUGUUGCUGAUUGCUGAACUCUCAAGUGACCUUAAUUUAUAUGGACUAUUGCUAAUAGAGCCCAUUAGUAGGGAAAUUAAAUUGUUAAUUCCAAUUCUCAUAGAUUCAUAGGGAAUGCCCUUGCAGUAUGCACAGAGAUGGAGAAUGAUAUGAAUAUACAUGUGGAAGUAGUAGAUAUGUGCAUGUCAUGUACAACAAGUCAAUACCUAAAAUUGGCACAGUACAUGUUAAACAAGAGGCAAAUCGACAAGUGGACUCUUUUUUCUUUCCCAUAUUGAUAAUGUCAAGAGAGGUUGGGGUAGACCGAACUUGACAUGGGAGGAGUUCAUAAAGAGAGAUCUGAAGGACUGGAGUAUCACCAAAGAACUAGCCAUGGACAGGGGCAUGUGGAAGCUUACUAUCCAUGUGCCAGAACUAUGAGUUGGUUGCGAGAACUUGUGGGUUUCACCUCUAGCCUACCCCAACUUGUUUGGGACUAAAGGCUUUGUUGUUGUUGUUGUUGUUGUUGUAUAUUGAAUGAAAUGUUAUCAGCAAUAUAUCCCUUUAUGUGUGGUUUUAAAAUUUUAUUAUUUAUUUAAGUGGAAGAAAUUAUUCUUUUACCACCAACACAGUCAAUGGAGUUGCUCCCUGAUUGCAUUAUUUUUAUUAUAAACUAUUCAGCAACACAAAAUUGACUAGAUUAAGUUUAUUGGUUUUGAGAAUAUUUUUGGUGUACUUCUACAAGGUGAACAUUUGAUAAUGUAAUUUCUCUUUUCCUUGUAGGGAACACAGCUGGCAGAGGAAAAUAUGCGCUUGAAAAACCAAGUAAUAAGAUUUUAGAUGCAUUCGUAGUCCUGCACUUAAUCAAUCUUUAUAAGAAGUGCAGCUUGAACAAAAGUCCAAUAAAAGUUGAGGUGGCAGAGCACACAUUUACAUCAUGUUCGUGUGCUUGGAUGUAGAUGCAUGAGGUGCCAACUGCUAGCACCGUGGCCGUUGCCGAAGCCGAAAAUGUUGUCCCUGAAGAUGCUCAUUCAUCUGACUCUGUGAUGACGGCAGUACAUUCGGGAAGCUCACAGGACAAUGAUGACGGUUCUGAUAUAUCCCUGAAACUAGCGUGAGUUUCGUCCAGAAACCCUUGCUCAUCAUCUUUAUCCUGAUCAUAUGCUAGUCUCAAAAUGCCUUCAUAGAAUCUGCGACAUGAGAAAAAAUAUAUAUAGUAGUUACUCCCUCCGUUCCCAAAUUGUAUAUUUUGUACUCCCUCUGUACUUAUACUUUUGGGACGGAGGGAGUACUAUUGUGGGACGGAGGGAGUAGUUAGCUCUGAUAACCGGAGAUGAGUCUGACAGCUCUAAUUUCAAUGUGUGUUUGUCGGUUUUUAUUUUUGAGGGAACCAAUGUGUGUUUGUCACCUGACUGAGUUACCAACAGUUUCUAUCAUCAAUUCUGAAAUGUGGCAGAUUCUUAUUCACUGAACAGGUUACCUUGGAAGUAAGGACCGUGGGGAGGCCACCAUGAGUUGCCUUGGUAGAGAGAAGAUGUGAAAUGCUAUGGGGAAUCACUCCAAGAUAGGCUGGCUGGAAUGAUCCCAUAGUAGAAGCCAGAUCAGUUUAACCCGAUCGAGUUGUCGUUUUAUGUCUCCGUUUGCACGGCGCAGUUGUCCACCUUUGUGCCUGGGAAUUCAGUCACUGAACUUGUAGCGUAUCUUCUUGUCUUGCUCUGUAGCGACAUGUAUCAUUCGUGCAAACUAUGUAUGUGCCUGCCACGGCUAUGUGUACUUAUUUUAUGAUGAAGCGUAAGCGUGUUAGUGAAUUCGCUGAGACAGGGCAAAAAAGCUUAAAAAUAUAUUUAGAAAAAUGUGGCAUCGCCCGGGAUUGAACCGGAGACCUUCAGUGUGUUAGACUGAUGUGAUAGCCAGCUACACCACAACACCAUAAUUAAUUUUCUUAUUGUAAUGUUUUAUUUAUAUAUUUUAAUAGAUGAUAGUGUCAAUCCGUGAUGAACACAUGAUCUACUUAUCGAGCUAUUUUUUUACAGUUUUGUGCCUUAUGAAAGGAGAAAUUGGAGGCUACCAAAAUCCGAGAUUUCACAGGUGCAGAUCUUCGGUUUAGAUUAGAAUUCGCUCAAAGAAUCAAGUGGCACUCUCGCUAAGCUUUUAUUCAACCUCCAUAAUGUUUACUUGAAGCUCUCUAGGUUGACCUAACCAAACAGGGCGACCAAACCCGAGAGUUAAAAAAUGCCUAGCGAGAUUGUGAUCCUCGAAAUUCGAGAUCCUAAACUCAUGAACGAUAUUACAAUCAGCAAAACCCGUAGAUCGGUCUAUGAUUUCUUGUACGAUAGUAUUACUUUGCCACGAAAUUUUGCUUGAUGUCAUUCACCACCGUCUUUCAGUCACUUGCAAUGUGAAUUCGCUGGACCUGGACAUACAGGUCCUCGGCAAGUGCUUGUCCUUCACGGACAGCCAGAGCUUCGAGGGUAGUUGGGUCUGCAACAAAUCUGAAUAUAACCGAUGAUGCUCCUAGGAACUCUCCCCUUUCGUUUCUGCACACCACUGCUGCAGCUCCAAACGCAUCCUCUUGUGAUACAACCUCGUCCACGUUCAUUUUUACUAGACCGCCCAGUGGAGGGAUCCACGUAGCAUUACGAACACUAGUAGCCCCGGAUCCCACUGGUGCUUCUUUAGCAAUAAUCUGAAGGUCCUUUUGGAAAAAAAUGAUGAAAGAUUUGUAGCAAAUGGACUCUCGAAGAUCUCCUCAUAGAUAGGUUUCCUUCUGGCUCGCCAAAUUGCCAAAGUCACUGUCAUACGAGUGGACUCAUCCUGCGCCAAUUUUUCAUGCAUUGAAAACAGCCAACACUUUGCAUUCAUUGACAAAUCGCUGCACAUGCACUCCACUGUCUCCUGUGCAGAUAGAGACCAAACGCUCCUCGCCAUCACAGAAUCAAUAAGAGCAUGCUUCCAACUGUCUUGCGCAGAGCAUAAAGCACAUACUAGGGAGGUAGAAAUGUUGCGGUGAUGGAGUAAGUCUCCUAUUGGAAGAGAUUCAUGGCACAACCUCCAUAGAAAAAAAUUCAGUUUUGAAGGAACCUUAAUAUUCCAAAGAGCUGUCCAUGCCCGCUCCUCUCUAACUGAAUCAAAGUGGCUUCCAGUAUGCUGUAACAGUGACUCCCCUUGCAACUUUGUUCGCAGCAGAAAUUUGUAAACUGAGCUGACUGGAAACACUCCUCGAUCAUCCUCUCCCCAUGCCCAAAAAUCAUCCACUCGUCUGGUACAUAGUGGGAAUCCCAAGAUUAAAUCUGCAUCAACUGGGAGGAAAACUUCUCGGCCCCUGUCCUCACGCCAUGCAGCUGACGAGCUGUCUAUUAAUUCUGAAACAAAAACUGGCUUAUCAUGUACCAAAGAAGUCAACAGUCUCAUCAGUCCAGACCGAGGGAUCCAGUUGUGCUCAAUUUUUUUUGUUUUCUCACCAGUCCCAAUUCUGCUUAUUAGGCCAUGAGCCAAAGCAUCUCGAUCAUCUAGCACCGCCCUCCAAAUCUGUGAUGGGUUAGAACCCAAAUAUGCCUCAAGAAAAGAAUCAUUGGGUAAGUAUUUUGCUUUCAAAAUUCUUGCACUCAAAGUAAGGGGUGCUUGGAUCAGGCGCCAAGCUUGUCUUGCUACAAGAGAUAAAUUAAAUAGCUUCAUAUCCCGAAAUCCAAGACCUCCCAACGACUUUGGCUUGGUGCACACAUCUCAUGAAAUCCAGCAAGGUAUCAUUGACUUUACACUCUCGCAAAUACCCAUGGGAAGCCUGAAGCAUGGCAUCGAAUAGACAGGGAUUGCUUGGGCCACCGCCUUGAUCAAUGCUACUUGUGAGCCGCGUUGGGAUUUCCUCGAAGACGAAAGGAUGAUGCAAUACAAUAGAGAUAAAUAUUUUUCUCAGUUAUGGAACCAAAGUUAUCAAUGCAGUGGGAGAACCAAGCAACAGUAUAUAAACAUUAUCUGCACAUAAACAACAAAUACUUGCAACCCAACAAGUAGAGGGGUUGUCAAUCCCUCAACGGUUACGAGCGAGAUUAAACGAUAUAGUUUUUGAUAGAUAGAUCAAACCAAAAUACAAAAUAAAAAAAUUGCAGCGAGAUAUUUUUGGUUUUAAUAUAUGAUAGAAAAUAGACCUGGGGCCAUAGUUUUCACUAGAGUCUUCUCUCAUAAAAAUAACAUACGGUGGGUAGACAAAUUACUGUUAGGCAAUUAACAGAAGAGCAAAAAUUAUGACGAUAUCUGACACAAUAAUCAUGUAUAUAGGCAUCACGUCCGAGACAAGUAGACCAAAACUAUUCUGCAUCUACUACUAUUACUUCACACGUCGAUUGCUAUACAUCAUGCAUCUAGUGUAUUAAGUUCAUGAAAGAACGGAGUAACGCCUUAAGCAAGAUGACAUGAUGUAGACAAGAUGUUGUAGGGUGAAACCCUAGGGGGAAUCUUUUCACACUUGGAGGGGGAAAAGUGAUGAACACACAAGAACACAAGGGGAAAAUCACUCAAACAUACCCAAAUCACACAUCCCCUAGAGUAGCAUACAUGAGAUCCACAAGCAUACAGGAACAAUUCAAGGAAAAUAGCACUAGGGUAGAGUUGUUCCCACUCCAAGGAGGUGAGGCCUUGAUGUUGAUCUUCUCCAAGAGGAGGCCUUGAUAAUCCACAAGGAUUCUUCCCAAAGAGGGGUCUUGAUCUCCAAGAGGAGGGAUACAAAGAGCAAAGCUCUCUCAUGUCUCUCAAAUACUUUGCUAUCCCCUAGAACAAGCUAGGUGAGGGGUACUUAUAGUCUAGGGACGAAAUUGGGGGAAAACAUGGGUACAUGGGUCUUUUAACUCUAAAUGCGCGCAGGCAUAUUCGGUGGAGUCCGGGCACCCGGAGUAAAGUGGUCGGGGCACCCGGACCGGUCAGAGAUAGGCGCCAAUGAGGGGGGGGGGGCACCUGGGGGUCGAAGGCCCGGGCACCCGGACGGUUCAGAGGAGGACCAGUCCCUGCGGCAGAAGAGCCAGGGCACCCGGAGGCGAGGGACAGCGCCCAGCGAGGUGGUCGGCACCCGGGGCGGCGGGCAGCACCCAAGCUGGGGAGGCCGGGCACCCGGGGUGUCCAGUGGCUCCACUCCUUCGUGCCCUUCUUCCUUCUCCUUCCCCUUGUGUGCUCACGUCUCCCUCCUAGCUUCUUCAUGGGCUUCUUCUUGGUACCCAAUAAUGCAUAGAGUUUUCAUUUGAGGUAGAAUCCAACUCUUGUGUGCUCAGGUCUCCCUCCUAGCUUAUUCAUGGCUUCGCCAUGAAUAGCAGAGCACUUAUCAAUGUGGCAUGUCGGCCGAGGAACAACCACGAGCGCUUUCGGUCUUGAAAACGUCGUGUUCAGGUGACGCUCUCAAAGAAGAUCGGCAGAUUCGCCAAACAUCAGACACAAACCCUGUACUGGAGAGGUCGUCACCUUCUGCUCGUCGCCAUCGCCAUCCGAAGCGGAAGUCGCCGCCUCGCCGGCAACACCUCUGAAUACCAGAUCCACCACAUGGGAGUAAUGGCAGAAAACAAAUCCCUUCAAUCCAUCGUUAUCGUCACACAUGAAACCGUCGAGAUGUGGCUGGGAUCAGGGAACAAUUAUUCCCAAUGUCAACACCGCCGCCAUCCAAAACACUAACGAAGAAAUCUACAAUCCUAUCCCUAACUAUAAACCAAGACAAAAAAAAAC